CCGGUCUGUUGUAGGUCUGCCUACCUUGAAGGCGCGGGCGGCGGAUCUGCCCUGCCCCUCCUACCACGCCUGCGGACCCCUGGGCCUGAUCUGCAGGUUGAUCACUGGUCUGCUCACCCUGCGGGCACGGGUGGCGGUUCCGCUCCACCCCCACUCCAGUUGGGGUCACGUGACCACCACACCGGCAGGGCCUGAUCCGGGCGUGGGAUAAGGAUCUGCUCUGCCCCUACUCGAGUUGGGGUGACGUGUGUACCACACUGGCAGGCCACUGGGCCUGACCCGCCAGGCUGUCACAGGUCUGUUUACCUUGCAAGCGCGAAGGGCGGCUCUGCCCUGCCCCUCCUACCAUGCCCAUGUACUACUGGGUCGUGGGUCUGCCCACCUGGCGGGUGUGGGUGGCGGCUCCGCUCCGCCCCCUCUCCAAUUGGGGUCACGCGGUCACCACGCUGGCGAGCCGCUGGGCCUGCUCCGGGGGCUGGCGGCGGCCCGGCUCCUUCCCUCUGGCUCGAGGACAAAUUGAGGAGACUCGGGUGACUGCGCCUCACCCCCCUUACCAGGAGACCAACUGCUUAUGUCACCGCUGGUAUUGAUGAAGAUCUCUCCUCCACCGCUUUCUGCUGACAUCAGAUCUCUGCCAUGUUGGUAUCCUAUGCGAAUGGCAGCAUUUCGUUCCCCUUGCCAGGCAACCCAAGCAAUGGGUGAGUCCUGACCUGCCCUCAGCAGGACCCGGACCGAGACACAGUUUCCGCGGGCUCCUAGCCCCGGUCCAGGGAAGUUCCGGGAGCCGGAACUCGGCCGCGCCGUGCUCGGUGUAAGCUCCUAUAAGUGUAAGCUCCAAGAAGCAGCCCCCGCGGGCUCAGUUCCGGGAGCCGGAAUUCGGCCGCUUAGUGCUUGGUGUAUGCUCUGAUAGUAGCAGGGUCCAAGAAGCAGCCUCCGCGGGCUCCGCAGCCCUGAGCCAGGGCGGUUCCGGGACGGUUCCGGGAGCCGGAACUCGGCCGCUCUGUGCUCGGUGUAAGCUCCUAUAAGUGUAAGCUCCAAGAAGCAGUCCCCGCGGGCUCAGUUCCGGGAGCUGGAAUUCGGCUUCUUGGUGCUUCGUGUUUGCUCUGAUAUUAGCAGGGUCCAAGAAGCAGCCUCCGCAGGCUCCGCAGCCCGGAGCCAGGGCGGUUCCGGGACGGUUCCGGGAGCCGGAACUUGGCCGCCCCGCGCUCCGUGUUCACUCCGAUAAGAUCAGAUUUUAAGAAGCCCCCAGGCGCUGAACCCUAGCAAUCUGUCUGCAAGCCGCAGGUGAAUUGCAGCCUGAAAUUACCUGUUCUAUGGCUGAAUGAGCUGCGGUCAGUCAAAAACAGGUGUGGUGACGUCAGUUUACCAACCUGGUGGCUGCUGGCCUCCUCUGUGGUCUGACCAGUGUGGAGAACCGAGAUGGACCGCUUCCUUCCCCGUCUCGAACCCAGAAUUCAGCCCUGAGUGCGGUGCUUGCGCGUCUGGCAGAAACUGCAGCGCUGUAACCCUGCGUCUCUAUCCCAGCGCGCCUUGCAGGCUCUAGCCGCGGGGCGAUUUGCUUAAUAAGCAGUGUUACCCUCCAUGCGACAAACCUCUCGCCUUAUAAUUCAUUUUGAUUGCUGGGGCAUUAUCGGGGCAUCCUGCAAAGCUCAACUAAUGCAAACCUAAUUCUUCUUUAAUACUCACCCCAGGAAGAGUUUAACAUGAAAACAGUAAGAUUUAUUUUUCAGUCUGCAGAUUAUUUUAAACCCUUAGUUGCUAGAUUUUCUGCACUUUAUAUAAGGAAAAUAACCAAUAAUCAGAAUGUUCUAUUAUGUCUUCCUCUAUAAAGUGGGUAAGGAAAGACACAGAGAUCAGAAUGGGCAGCUACAGAGUCUGCAAGGUGACUGCAGGAAAUUCAAGCGAGUAGAACAGAUGUACCAUAACAGCAUAUACGACAGCGCUUCAGAUAUAUAAGAAUUCUACUAUCUGUCCUGUAAUUUAUAAAUAUUAUUUAUGUAGCUCUUGAUAUAUAUACUUUCAUCCACAUAAUAAUCUAAUAAGGAAGAUAAUAUUAAUUACCCACAUUCUAGGAAACAAAACUGGACAGAUUAAAUAACAUGCCCAAGACUCACUCCAAGGUCUGGUCUGACUUUGCAUUUAUGCUUUUUAACUACUGUACUUUGUGGCUAACCACUGAUGAAAAAACCAAUCUGUAUACUUCUUAUCAAGCCCAGUUUUAGCAAGAAUCUUGCUAAGUCAGUUUAGCAACAAUUUUCCUCUUUUAUUAUCUGAUAUCUUGUCAAAUUUCCUCAUCUUUCUCCAUCUCCCAGCUGAUAUUGAUCAUGCUGGCAUGCCUUAAGCAAAAAUCCCCCUAGAAUUGAUGUCUAUUCUUAGUAAUUUUCCAUACACCAGUGAACUACCACCAAGAACAACUUCCUCUGUGGAAUCCUCACUUAUUCUGAUUAUAUUUAGAAUUAAGUUCAUUUCUAUAUUAAACUUUAUCUUCCUCUAUUGUAAUAUCAUCACUCCUUUAACUUCUGUCUGGCCCUGGAUUUCUUUAAUACCAUUUAGCAGUGAAUCUCAAAGUGUAGUCAUCAACAAAAUCUAGGAAUUAAAGAGAAAUUAUAAAUAUUUGUGCCCCACCCAAGACCUAGUGAAUAAAAACUCUGGGGAUGGGACCCAGAGGUAUGUUUUUAACCAGGCCUCCAUGUGAUUUUGAUAUUUUGUUUGUUUGUUUUUGUUUUACUAAAGAUAACAAAUCCAUCUCUCACUUUUUCAUAGUCAAACUACAAAGCUACAUUUUAAGUCUUAUUUAUAAAAAUGUAAUGCAAGAUUUUGGCAUUUCGUUUUGUCUUGUUUCUUAUAUUGGCAAGAGUUUCCAGUGCCACAGCACUAUGUGGGCACCUGUCUCUGCUGCCUUUGGAGACGCCACAACAUCUCCAUUCAACUCUUCUGAGUUUCCAUGUCCUCAUGUAUCUACCCAGUUUGUCUAUCAGAAUUGAUCCAGUACUGUCUCAGACACAUAGCAGAUAACUUAUAUUUGUUAAUUAAAUAAUUAUUACACUGGUGGAUAAACUCUGGUACAGAUUUUAAAUUAUUAUUCUAGGUACAAUAAAGUGGGACCAUUAAUUCUUAUUGACAUCUGAUUGACACAAGUAUUAAUUUCAAGGCAUUGUCAUAUUGUGGUAAACUAUAUAUGACACAUGUAGUCAUUAGUCUCUGAAGAUGGACCCUUCCAACAACCCAUGCUUUGCAGUAAUCAGAUCUUGUGUAGAUGCACUAUUUAUCUCAAGAUGGAGUCAUAAAACACCAUGCAGUUUCUACAUGGGUCUCUUGGAAUAUGUAUUAAGGCAAGCACUAGUCACCAUGCAAAAAGUCUAUCUUGAGACCUCCAUGCUGUAAGGGAGCCCAAAAUAUCUAAUCAUGUAGAGAAACUUUAUGGAAAAAGAAAAAUGCCCUGAAAACCCCAGCUGUUGCAGGCAUCCCAUGUGAGGCAACUGACAUGUGAAUUAGGAGGCCAUGAUGAACUUCCAGCCCUGUUAACCUUCAGGUGACACUAGCUCCAUCUGCCGUCAUCACCACAUUGACUAAAUAUAAUUAAAUGGAGUUAAAGGAGAAGUGUGAGCUCUAUGUAUAAUUCAUACUCUUUUGCUAGCUUUAGUAGCACAUUGGUGUUCUCUACAUGUGGACUAUAAGUGGUCUUAUUGUAAAUAUGAAAACUAAAUUUGCAUGGCAGGCAGUGUUGCAUAUUGCAUACUUCAGUCAAGUUAGAAAUUUCAUUAACAGCACAGGGAUUAUUUUUAUGAGUGUCCAUAAAAGAAAAAGGGAUAAAAUUUGUAUCCUGCUUAAAAUUUUAUAACUGGUAUUCCACUGUACAUUAAGUAGAUCAGUUCCUAAUACAGUCCAAGCAAAUUCACAAAAUGUUGACUCGCAUUACUUAACAUAAAGAGGCAAAGACUUGUACCUUCUAGUUCUUACUAUGACAGCUUGUUCAGAGAGCCAAGUAAAUACAUGUUACUUUCUUCACUGGGGCUUUCCCUGUGACACCUGGUAGGCUCAUUUAUUUGGCAUAAUAUAGCUUAUAUUUGUCAAGUUCCUGAUCCUCUAAAAUCACCUUUUUUACUAAAUUUUUCUCUCUUUUUUCCAUAUGUCCCUAUAUAUUCUUCAAUAUAUAGAAAGCUAAAUGCAUAGCCUUAUGUACUACGUACCCAUUUAUCACAAAGUAUAUAUACUAGCUUCAACCUGUACAGCUGAAUCAUAACAUACUUAUAGGUAAAUGUCACUUCUUAAUUUGCUUUUAUACUCCCACAGUACCUAGCUUCAUGUAUUAGAAAUUCUUAAACAAAUAUUUAUUCAAUGAAUGAAUGGAACAAAUGUAUAGUAUGUUUGAAAGAUACUGUAUUCUGUUUCCCAGAUCCACAUAUUUACAGGAUUGCUGAUAAACUGUAACUGCUCCAUUCUGCUGAAUCUCUGAUUUGUCAGUUGAGCUCUACAAUUAAUUCUCAAAUUCUAUUCAAUUUAUGCAGUGAGCUGGGUUCCUUGGGGAUACAGGAGAGGGAAAGUAAUAUCUUUUUCUUACUCAUCUCAAGGUUUGUAACUAAAACCCCUAAAGCAAAAGAUAGAUUAACAAAAGAAAAGCAUAACAAAUUUGAUGGAAAUUUUAUGAUGUGGGAGCCUUCAGAAUGGAAGACUCAAAGACUCAAGAAAAACUAUGCAUGUUUAGGUUUAUCCUUGUUGAGAAAUGGACAAUCAUCUAGAAGUAUUACUGGACAAAAAGAGAACAUCAUCUAAUGUUAAUAAACUGGAGCUUCCUGGUAUAAGCAAGUUCUUGGGAUUAUACAAACUGCUGCUUCUGUUUCCAGUCCAGAUUUCUAGAAAUGAAACUCUGGGCCGCGCUGACGAGCGUCCGCGCUUGUCUGGGACCGUAGCAGAGCCGCCCUGGCGAGCGUCCGCGCUUGUCUGCGACCGUAGCAGAGCCGCCCUGGCCUCCGCAGCUCUUCAGCCCGGUGUCAGGCCCCAGGGGCCCAAGCGGCUGCCGCCGCGACUCUCCGUCCCCCUCCUCAGGAGCACGGGUCCCCUGGCAGGGGGGUGCAGAACGACCCCAGAGCAGGCUCUGCCCGGAGGUGCAGCAGCGAACAGGCCACAGAGACGCUCGAGGCUGCAGUCCAGCCUUCGGAGGACAGGGCUCGGCACGCAGCCCAGCUCCAACCUCUAGGUGCGGCUGCCGGACAGUGUAUACAGAGCCAUCAAGACAGCAAGCAGAAAGCAAAUGGCGGCUCCCACGGAGUGGAUUUUCGGCACAGAAACCACAGCCCCGCCAGCAAUCCCAAUCCACAAACUCUCCCUGUAUAAAAAUUAUUCAAAAAAAAAAAAAAAAGGCGUGGCGCACUGAGCUUUCUUUGCCUCGGGUACUUACAAUCCACUGCUGAUUACACAUUCAGCUUCUCCGCCCGGAGCGAAGCGAAAGAGGCAAAAAAUUUGAAUGUAAGUUCAAGUUGAUUUAUUUUUAAUUAAUUCCACUGAUGGUGAAAUAAGUCAGAUUUCUACUUUGGGAGAUAGGACAAUACCAGAACAACAUUAAAAGCUACAAAAGAAAGAAAAGUAAAAUAAAAUAAAGGAGUUUUGUCUAUAUAGUGUAAAAUGUCAAUGUUACUUCCACUGUAAGAAAAAAAUAUUCUUAGUAAAUGGUAUAAAGUUCUUAUAUACAGUCCAUUAUAAUGCUCUGACUUUAUCUGAGACUCUAGUCAGGCCCAUCUUUCAGGUUAAUCUGUAUAAAAUAAAAUAGAUAAGGUAUUUUGAAGAAACUAAGCAUUUUGCCCAUCAAGUGUCUGAUGUUUACAAAAUAUUACUUUAAAAAAAUAGCAAAUACUUAUUUAUACACUGCUGAUUUUCAGGGUCAGCUUUAUGGACAUUCCACCACUGAAGUCUCAAAAUCCCUACAGUGAGAAGGAAGAGCUCCACUGAGGUUUAGCAUUCUGUACUUGCCAUCCUGAAAUGCUUAAUAAUAAUUUUAUCUUUGAAUUUUUUUUUUUAAAUAUAGUCCAAAGGGACAAAGGAUCACAUGCUGGAGUCUGUCAGUCAGUUAAAGUGUAGUUCACUCUCCAAUACUUCUUGUGUCUCCAGGAAUUGUUUCCAGACAUUCCAUCUGCCACUCCCUUAGGCUUUGGUACCCUGAUGAUCUCUCUCUCCUGAUCUUGCCCACUGACCAAUGUCACCCUCUCUCCUCAGCAGAGGCCUAGGUGUGGAUACAGGGGAAUUUAAUAUGUAAUUCCUAAAACUAUGAAUAUAGUAAGAUAGCAUGCCUAUAAAUAUGUCAUAUGGAAAAUGGGAUUUUAGAGAUAAUUAAGUGUACUAAUAAUUCACCUUAAGUAUUCAAGAAGGAGAUUAUCCAAAUGUGCCCAACCUAAUUGGGUGAGGCUUUAAAAAGCAAUGAGUUUUGUUUGGUGGGCAGAAGUCAGAGAUGUCCAAAGAAUGAGGACAUGGUGUGCCAUCUCUGCACUGAAGAUGGUGUAGACAAUUAAGAAGGAAUGUAGGUAGCCUCUGGGAUCUGAAAGCAGCUCUUUCAUAAUAUACCUCAGACCAAAGGAAAUAGAUUCUGAAAGCAGUCAGAGUAACGGUGGAAAAGGAUUUUCCCCAGAUCCUCUAUAUAAGAAUCUAGCUUGACCAACACUUGGAUUUUAAACUGAGAGGCCAAUGGGUGUAGUUUCUAACAGCUAAAUUUGUGAUAAUUUGUUACUUAGCAAUACAAAACUAAUACAAAACACUUCUACUUUUCCUAAGUUGUCCUUUGAUGUUAUUACUUUUCAAAAGAGGAAGACAGUUAUUCUAUAAAAUUAAUAGUUGGUUACAGUGGAAUCUUAAAAGACACAUUUUCUGUGUUUAGAUGAACCUACAAACACUAUUCCUGUAUGAAAUAAUUUAUGACAAGGCUAAAUAGUUUUAUGAAUGAUAACAUUUAUAGUCAUCUUAAAUAAAGAUAAUAAAAUAUGCAUUAAAACAUCAGAACCCUAUAGUGUUCUAAAAUAAAUUCGUAGUCUCAUUCAUGUCAAGCUCAUGUAUUUGGUACAGGAUAUUACAAGACUUAAGAGAAAGAUUAUAAAAAUAUAACAGUCUUCCUCUCUGAGGGUCAUAUUUAUUUUGAGAAAGGAACAGAGAGAAAGAAACUUGGUGGUGAGUGUAGGUCAAGCUAAUUUGAUCUCUGUUUUUUUUGUUUAAACUAUCUUUGGGUCUCUUUGAAAACAAUCAUUUUACUCUGAAGUCCUAGGAGGCCCUUUCGCUUUUGGUUUCUGUGAAAAAGUGUUGGAGGAUAAAUGGGACAAGGAAGAAGGAAGGAUUUGUGCUGGAAUAAAAGAAGCUCACUUGAAUUUAAUGUGUAGCCAGGAUCCAAGUGGGCCAUUUGGAGUUGAUGGAGGUCACACACUGGUGUGUGUCUUGUGUUCUUCACAACUCAGUUUCCCUGCUUUCUGUAUAUCAACCUUUUCUCCCUGUACCUCUUCAAUGUGAGACCCUCCAAAGGCUGAUUCAAAAUCUUCAAGGAGACCAUUCCAUUUAUUCCCUGGAAGCCAGCAGGCCAUUGCAAUAGCAUAUAUUCUUCUCUGAGGUACAUCGUAACCAUAACAUUAUUAAAAUUAAACCUAAAUUUACUUUGCUGAAGCAUCUGAGUUGUCCAGAAAAAAAUUAAAUCAAUGAUAAACUCUGAAUAAAUGAAAUUUAAGUCAAGACCCAUAUUAUUAUUUUAUAUUUAAUCCCCAAUAGAAGAACAUUGAUUUAACCUUUUUUUUUAAAUUUGAUGUCACUCAGCCAGGAGACCCUUAAACACAGCUUGCUACCAACAAUUAUUUAUGCUCCUUUUCUGAAAAGCACCUAAUAACUGCUAAUUAAGUCUUUUGUAGCCUGACUCCGAACUAAUUAGGCUUAAUUGAGCCUGCUUGUGCAUUAGCUAUUGCAGCUUUUGUCCUGGUAAUCAGGAUUUUAGAGCACACUGAAUAUUCACUCAAUCUGUUUGCUUAGACUUCUCUCUACUGGACAUUCUCCUACAGGCCUUUGUCAUUUCUUAAUGGGCAAUAGUUAGCCACUCUCUGCUUUAAAAACUAGGAAUGGAAAAACCAUUUGACCCAGUUAUCCCACUCCUUAGUAUAUAUCCACAGGAUAAAAUCAGUCUACUACAGUGACAUAGCCACAUCAAUGUUCACAGAAGCUCAAUUCACAAUAGCUAAGCUAUGGAACCAACCUAGGUACCCAUUAACAGAUGAAUGGAUAAAGAAAAUGCGUUAUAUAUACACAAUGGAAUAUUACUCAGCACAAAGAAGAAUGACUUUAUAAUAUUUGCUGGUAAAUGAAUGGAUCUGGAGACUAUCAAAUAUUUGAUUAUUUGAUUCAUCAAAUAAUCCUUUGAUUUUACAAAGUUAAAAUCCUUCUUUCAGGUACUGUUAGGUAUGGAGAGCCAAAUCAGGCAGUCCUGAUUACAAACAUCUAUAAAACAAAAUAAGCAAAAUUCUCUUCAGAAUUCUAUCUUACCUUCAGAAACUAAUCUUUCUCUGGGUGUGCCACAUGGCACAAAAGUAAAUCACUGAGGGAAAGGGGGUACAGCUCAGGGGUAGAUUGUGUGCUUAGCAUGCUAGCAUGGUCAAGGCCCUGAGUUCAAUUCUCAACACCAAAAAAAAAAUAAAGUAAUCCAUAAAGGUAGUCAUAAUUUAAACAAAACACAAAAAUAGUGCCAUUGGUAUAACUAGCUUCCUCGGUUCAAAGCAUAUAUAAAACCAUAUCUUUUCAAUAUUCAAAGUAAUCUAACUUAUAGGAGACAAUGUCAUGGAAAUAAUCCCCAUUUCCAUGAUUGAAAAACUCACUCCCUACCUGAGGAUCUUUAGUUCAUAUUCAAACAUUCUGCCUUAGUUCCUCACACUUACCCACAAGGGUUGGAUGGCUGGGUCAGAGGUAUGUCUAACCUCCCCUGCAUUACAGUGCCCCUGGUUACACUGCCACCCUGGUCAUCUAGUCUAGGUUUGGAUUCAGAUUCCUUUUCUAAGUGACUGCCUGGGGACACUCAGAAUCUUUUCCUGACGGAGGCCUUCAGCUAGCCCGGCUCAAUACAGCUGAAAUAUCCUAAUAACAUUAUACCUUUGGAGGGAAGGAAUGUGUGCCUGAGGGUUUCAAUCCUGGAGUACCUAGAAACAUAAUAACUCUAUGGUCAUGAAACCAGAGAAUAAGUUGAUCAGGUGACCAAUGUUAACUUCACCAACUAAACAUCUAUAUUUUUUAUUAAAGAAAGAUCUCAAAUCAACAACUUAAUUUUCUACCUUAAGAACUAGGGGAAAAAAAGGGCUUGGGGAUGUAGCUCAGUCAUAGAGCACUUGCCUAGCAUACAAGAGGCCCUGGAGUUCAAUCCCUACCACUUCAAAAACAAAAAGAACAACAACAACAACAACAACACAUACACACACUCUUCCUCUCUUUCACAUACACACAGACACAUACACACACACACACAACUAGAAAAACUGAUAAAUCUUUAGCUAGACUGAGGGAUGAAAACAAAAUUGAAGACUCAAAACUAUAAAAUCAAGACUGAAAAAGAGGAAACCACUCUAAUUUAGGCUGGGGUGGGUGGGAAGGAUGAAAAGAAAACACUAUGAACAACUGCAUGUCAACAGAUUAAGUAACUCAGAUGAAAAGGACAAAUUACUAGUAUGAUGCAAAGUACUCAAAAUGACCCUCCCCUCACAAAAUUAGAAAGUCUGAACAGGACUGUAAUGCCUGAGGAGACUGAAUUAGUAAUUUAAAAAUCUCACACAAAGAAAAGCUCAGGUCCAGAUUACUUCAUUUGGUAAAUUUUGACAAAUGCUUAAAGAAUUAAAGAAUUAUACUAACCAUUCAUAAGCUUUUCUGAAAAAUAGAAGAGUAGGUUAUACUUCUCAAUUCAUUCAAAGAUACCACAAGGAAAACAAAUAAGCAAGCAAACAAACAAAAUCACAAAAACUACAAAAAAAUCCCUACUAACCAAUAGCCCUUAUGAAUAUAGAUAUAAAAAUUCUCAUCAAAAUAUUAGCAAACUGACUAUAGCAACACAUAAAAGGAUCAUACACUAUUACAAAAUGGACAUUAUUCUUGGAAUGCCAGGUUGGUUUAAGAUCUGAAAACCAAUUAGUGUAAUAUUAUAAAUUAAGGGCAAAAUUAAUUUGAUUAAUCCCCAUAGAUGCCAACAAAGCAUUUGGCAAAUAUGAUGUCUUUUCAUGAUGAAAAUGUUAAACAAAAUAAGAAUAGAAAGGAAUUUCUUCAACCUGUUAAAGAGGGUUGAUAAAACCUCACAGUUGUAAUACUUAGUGGUGAAAGACUGAAUGUUUUCCUCUGAGAUUAGGAAUAAGACAAAGAUGUCUGUUCUCACUAGUUCUUUUUAACACUGUAACAAAGUUUCUAGCCAAGGCAAUUAGGCAGGACAAAGAAACAAAAGUCAUCCCAGUUGGAAAAGAAGUAAAAAAAAACAAACAAAAAAAACAAACCAAAAAACCCCAAAACCUGUGUAUUUAUGGAUGACAAGAUCUUGUGUGUAGAAAAUCCUAAGAAAUCCAUUAAAAACCAUUAGAGGUAAUAAGCAAGUUUGCUGGAUAUAAGAUCGAUGUGCAAAAUCAAUUGCAUUUUUUGCAUUAGUACUGAACUUUCCAAAAAUGAAAUUAGGAAAUCAAUUCCAUUAUCAUGGCAUAAAAAAGAAUAAAAUACUUGAGUAUAAAUUUAACAAAAAAAGUGCAAGAUUUGUACACUGAAAUCUGUAACAGAUUACUGAAAGAAACAUGUUAGGACUCAGUAAAUGAAGACUCCCAUGCUCACAGAUGAAAAGAUUUCAUACUGGUAAGAUGGUAAUACUCCCCAAAUGGGUCUGCAGACUCAAUUCAAUCCCUAUCAAAAUUCCAACUACUUUUUUUUUGCAGAAAUUGGCAAACUAACCUUAAAAUUCACACAGACCUCAAGGGACCCAGAAGAAACAGAACAAUCUCAAAAAAGACCAAAUUCAGAAAACUCAGCAAUUUCCAACAACAAAAUAUAUUACAAAGCCUCAGUAAACAAGAUGGUGCAAUACUGGAAAUACAUGUAAACAUAUAGAUUCAUGAAAUAGAACUGAAAGUCCAGAAAUAAAUUCUUACUUUUAUAGUCAAUUGGUUUUGAACAAGAGUUCCAAAACAAUAUAAGGGAGAAAGAAUAAUCUUUCAACAAAUUGGGGUAGAAAACUAAACACCCACAUGCAAAAGAAUGAAGUUAUAUUCUUAUUAUUAUUUUUACUAUAAACACAUGCACAUGCAAAUAACACAAUGGUUCAAAGGCCUAACUGUAAGAGGUUAACAAUGAAACUUUUUUUGUACAUAUAUGUGCAUAUAUAUGUAUAUAUAUAUAGUAUAUAUAUAUAUAUAUAUAUAUAUACAACCUUCUCUACCACUGAGAUUAAAUCCUAAUUAAAAGAAUAUGUAUGUCAAUUUAAACUGGGCAAAGGAUUCAAAUAGCUUUUUUUUUCUAAAGAAGAUAUACAAAUCACACAUACAUAAGCACAUGGAAAGAGGCUCACCAACAUUGCUCAUUUAGGAAAUCCAAACUACAGUAAGAGUCUGAUUUAUAACUUACUAGGAUGUCUCUAAUAAAAGGAUGGACAAAUGUCAGUGAUGUCAUGGAGAAAUUACAACCCUCAUACAUUAUUGUUGGAAAUGUAAAAUGGUGUAGACACUUUGAAAAAGUUUGUCGGUUUCUCAAAAAUUUAAACAUAGGGCUAUGUGAUCAAAUACUGAUAGAAAGAAUUUCAUUCCUGAGUAUAUACCCAAGAGAAAUGAAAACAUGUCCACAUAAAAACUUGUAGAUGAAUGUCCAUAGAAGCAUUAUUAAUAAUGGCUCAAAACUGAAACAACAUAAAUUUCCAUCAAUGAUAAAUAAAUAAAUAGAGUUUGGCAUAUCCAUACAAUGGCCUAUUAUUCAGCUGUAAAAAGAAAUUACAUGUUACAACACAAAUGAACCUUGAAAACAUUAUGCUAAAUGAAAGAAGCCAGUCAUAAAAGACUACAUAUUGUAUGAUUCAAUUUAUAUGAAAUAUCUAGAAUAGGUAAAUCUGUGGAGACAAAGCAGAUUGGCGGUUGUUAAGGGUUGGUGGUUAAAGCAGGGGGAUGGCUAUAGGUGGAUGAGGAGUAAAUACUAAUGGGUAUGUUUUGGGGGGAGGGGAUGAAAAUAUUCAAAAGUUUUAUUGUGAUGAUAGUUGCCCAACUCUGUGAAUUUUGUAAAAAAAUCAUUGAGUUGUACACUCUAAAUGCAUAAAUUUUAUAGUAUGUGUUUAUCACAAUUUUUAAAGAAAUAACGUUAUCAAUGAAGGGCAAAUGGAACUCCCAUACCUCAGAGAUGAUACCCUGAGAAAGAUAAAAUAUUACUUUUAUAGUAUUCUGACUAGGGAUGAAAUACUUGAAGUUAGGGGGUUGGAGAUAGAGGUAGCUCAGUGGUAGAGUGCUUGCCUUGCAUGCACAGAGCCCUGGGUUCAAUUUCCGGCAUACCUACCCCCAAAUUUUGAAUCUAUUAGGAGGAAACAGAAAAGAAGUUGCAGAACUUUCUAUAACAUAAUUGGUCAUUAUUCUUUUUUUUUUAAAAGAGAGAGUGAGAGAGAGAGUGAGAAAGAAAGAAUUUUCUUUUAAUAUUUAUGUUUUAGUUUUCGGCGGACACAACAUCUCUGUUUGUAUGUGGUGCUGAGGAUCGAACCUGGGCAGCACGCACGCGAGGCAAACACGCUACCGCUUGAGCCACAUCCCCAGCCCGGUUAUUAUUCUUAAAAAAUUUUAGUGUCAGGACUAAGGAUAUAGCUUGGUGGUAGAGCACUUGCCUGAGAUAAGCAAGGUCCUGGGUUCGAUGUCCAUACUGAGAAAAAACAGAAAGAAAAAAAAAGCAACUCACUGUGAAAAGAAUGCUCUAUGUCUUAGAUUUAAAGAGACUUCUGAUUUUAAGAAGCAUCCUUUAUUUAAAACUUUAAAAUUUUGAGAAAGGAAGGAAGAGCAGCAGAAGAAGAGAACAAAGAAAGAAAAACCGAAAAAGAAAGAAAGAUCACGACAUUGAAUUUGAGGAUCCUACCAAAUGGUGCAUUGUAUAUCAAGAAAAUAUGGCGAUUAACUUCCUUCUGCCAGAAUCAUCUUGUCUUGGUCUAACUGCCUUUCUAACAUGACAAAGGAUUGAAGAACCCUUCUUUCUAAACAUUUCUGUUUUCUUGUACAGAUCCCUAGUCUCCAUCCAAUGUGAAUGGGAGAAUUGGUCAUUGUUAAGAAUUUGGUAAAAUGGACCUACAGACUUCAGCAGGUGGCAGGUAGAACCUGGGCCUUCCCUAGGGCCCGGCUCUUGGGCAGAGCUUCAGUUGCUGCAGGGGUCAGCCGGUGGCUGGAUGGAAGGUGGUGUACCCUGGGCAUGGUGGCCAGGCGGGUCGGCGAGGCCUUCCUGAGCCAAGCGGAAGCUACAGCAGCAAUCUGGCGGGGGCAGGAUGAACUCUGACCUACCCUUUGCCCAGGCUCCCUUGCAAUUCUGGCAAAGUGAAUCUGGCUGGAGUCUCAGCUCUGGCAGGGGUGAGCAGGUGGCUGCAUGGAUCAAGGCCCCUCUAGAACUCCCACGCAGGUGGAAGAGGCUGAUCAGGGCAGAGCGGUGAGCUCCAGAAGAGGUCAGCCAGUGGUGGGAUGGACCCGGGCUUACCCUGAGAACGAGCUCCCUGCAGUUCAGCUGGGCGGAUCAGGCCUGGGCCUGACCUGCGCAAGGGUCUCCAGGUGGCCGGAUGGAAUUUGGCUUACCCUUGCCCAGGCUCCUGAGCAGCUGGCUUGGCUGAUCUGGCAGGAGCCUGAGCUCCGGAAGGUAUUCCCUGUGGGCAGAGGUGGUCGUGGGUCUGGCCUGAGCUCUGUUGGGGGUCAGCCUGUGGCAGGAUGGAGCCAGGCCUACCUUGGGCCAGGCUCCCAUGCCUGACAGAGAGGCUGACCUGGGCUGGGGCUGAACUCUAGCAGGUGUCUUCCAGUAGGCAGAGUCAGUGCAGGGCGGAGCCUGAGCUCUGGCGGGCCACUGACAGUGGGCGGAGUCAUUCCUGGGCUGAGGCGGAGUUCCAGCAGGGGUCAGCCUGAGGCGGGAUGGCCCUGUGACUACCCUCUGCCCAAGCUGGCCUGUAGUUCAGCAGGGCGGAUCAGGCCUGGGCCUGAUCUGCACGGGGUCCCCUGGUGGUGGGAUGGAACUGUGCUUACCCUUGCCCAGGCUUCUGCGCAGCAGGACCUGGCUGAUCAGGUAGGAGCCUGAGCUCAGGUAAAGUAGGCGGAGUCAGUGCAGAGCUGAUCCUGAGCUCUGGUGGGCCACUUACAGGGGGCGGAGUCAUUCCUGGACCCAUCAGGAGCCCCAGCAGGGCUCAGCCUGAGGCAGGAGCUACCUUUGACUACCCUCUGCCGCCUCAUGUCAUCCUGGGAGGUCUGGGCGGAUCUUGAGCUCCCAAGGAUGUUUGCUGAUGAGUGAAAACAGUUUUCCUCUGUUGGAUAUCCCUGAGGACUCCUCAGCACAGGAAGAAUGACAAGGCUGUUGCAACCAGCACGACCAAACUUGACAUUCCAGCUAGGGGUCAGGACAGAGAAUCAGCAGAUCAUGAACACACUCCGGAAACCAGGGAUGCUGUGAUGGUACGCAGAAGCCCACAGGUAUGCUCGGGCUCAGUCCGCCAGCCAAAAACCCUGUGAACAGGAGGACAGUAACGAACCCUAGGUGGUUAACCAAAGGCAGAAUAUUUAGGAAAAGCUCGCUCCACCAGAUUGGUGUUGAUUCUGGAAAGAAGACAAUGAUGACAGCAGCAUGUGGAUGCACAAAUUCAUUUGUCUUGUGUGUUAAGAAUAAAGGGCUUGAACCUGGUGUCCUGUCACAUGGAGGCUGAAGCAGAAGUAUUAUGUGUUCAAAGCCAGCAUCAGCAACUUAGCAAGUCCAUUAGCAAUUCAGUGAGGCUCUGACUCGAAAUAAAAUACAAAAAAAAAAAAAAAGGGCUAGGGAUGGGGCUUGGUGGUUAAGCACCCCAGGGCUCCAUCCCCAAUAAAAUAAAAAUAAAUCAUGUGGUUGAACCCAGAGAGGAAGAUCCCACUGAAAUACAUUCAAAUAGCUAUAUGCAGCAUUCAGAUAUUGUGCUCCUAAAUCUUUGAGCUCUAAGUAAAUAAAACUAUGAAAAUAAAGAAUCAUAUCCUAAUAGGUAAAGUGUAUUCUUUCAGAGAGAGGCCAGUGUUGACCAGCUAUCUACUUUCCUCAUUUCAAUUUCUAUAAAAUCUUACUUCCCGAAGGUAUCAUGAGAGAAAACAAGGUAUAAGGUCAUGUUGCAAAAUUAGGUCACAACAGUAUACAUGUGUGAGAUGUGUGUGUGUGUGUGUGUGUGUGGGUGGGUGGGUGUAUGUGUGUGUGUGUAUUUAAAUUUUUUAUUUGGUACCAGGGAUGGAAAUUCAGAGGCACUCAACCACUGAGCCAUAUCCCAAGCCCUAUUUUGUAUUUUAUUUGGAGACAGGGUCUUGUCUCACUGAGUUGCUUAGUGCCUCACAGUUCCUGAGGCUUGGUGUGAACUUGCAAUCCUCCUGCCUCAAUCCCCCAAGCCACUGGGAUUAUAGGCAUAGGCCAUCAUGCCCAACCCCAAAGUACCAUUUUGGAAAAAUAAAAGAAGUCAGGGAUUUAGCACAAGAGGUAUUCUUCACACAGUGAAUUGUAAACUCUGAAGGGUGGCAACUGGGAACUGAGUGACAGAACUCAAAAGAGAGAUCAGGAAAGACUUGCAUAGAUAAAACACUUGAUAAUGUCACAAAGGUCACAUUUCUAUUUUUUGGAGAAAGGCAUAUGAUUCUGUAAAAGGUAGUGGGAACAUUGUGAAGAUGCCUAAUGAUGUAGUUAAGAACAUGAAAUCCAAUCCCUAUCUCAAUCUUUCCAUCCAAAAAAAACUCCAGAUGCUCUGAUACACUAAAUGUAUAAAUCAUCAAAGUCCAGGAACAAAAUAAAUGAAUGUUUACACAAUGGAGGAGGAUUUCUAAACCUCAAUGUGGAAAGCAAGAAGGCAAAGUUGGUCACUAAUGCGAGUUUUGUAUGUAUAUGGAAGUGUAGUGUGUGUGGACAUGUCCACACAUACACCAGCACACAUUGCUCUUGUAGUUUGGUGGUGUUAAAAUAAAUCUUUGAAAUAAUCCAAUUCAUACAGACAGGAAGUAGAACGGUGCUUACUGGGAUGAGUUACAGGGAAAAGUGGCAAGAGAGUAUUUAAUGAGGACAGGUUGAAUUUGUGAGUAGAAAAGUCCUGGGGAUGGACAAAUGAUAGUGAUGGCUGUAUCAUAAUGAGAUUCUCUUUGGUGCCAUAGAACCAUACUCCUUUUUAAAAAGUUAACAUGUUAAAUGUCUCAUAUCGUGAACUUGUACAACUGCAACUGUGUUAAUUCUGUUUUUAAAAUACCACAUAUAUUCUUUUUUUUAAAGAUUUUUUUUCUUAGUUGUUGAUAGAUCUUUAUUUUAUUUAUUUAUCAAAGGUGCUCAGAAAGGAACACAGGGCCUUGGACCUGCCAGACAAAUGUGCUUCGGCUGAGCUGCAGUCCCAGCCCACGUGGUAACUUCCUAAAAAAAAGUGUCUGAGAUAUAAUGACACAGGAAUAUGUUUACAGAUAUGUAAAUGUAUUUUUAAGAAAUAAAAGACCAGAGGGGAUAGGGUUGUAGCUCAGUGGUAGAGUGCUUGGCUAGCAUAGGAGAGGCUCUGGGUUUGAUCCUCAGCACCACAUCAAAAUAAAUAAAUAAAAUAAAGGAAUUGGGUCCAAAUACAUCCCCCAUUGCCCCCCCAAAUAACCUUUAAAAAUAUAUAAAAAUCAUAUAACAUGAUUGCAAUGGACCACAUCAGGGUAUAAUAAAAAACUUUGCCACAGUAACAAUGAAUGACUUAUUUAAAUUGAAAUUCUUGGGGUAAAGAUAGGCAUGCACUUUAAAUUUUGGCAUAUUUUCUGAAACUUCUCUGCAGAAUAGGUAUGACAAUUUGUAUUGCAAUUAUCAGAACUUGAAAAUUCCAUUUUCCAACACGGUUAACAUUAGAUUUUCUCACUAUCUUGAUUCCUUGUAUUUGAUAGGAAAACACACACAUGUACUUUAUGUUUCCUUUGGAUUCCUCUACUGUGAUUUGGAUUACUAAAUUUUUGGUAUGUCAUCUUUUAUAAACAGCAGAUACUGGGUUUUACCACUUUUGUAGGCUCUUUGUUUCUCCCUAUUGACUUGUAGGAGGUCCCUAUGUUAUUAAGCUCUCAGAAGCAGGGCAGAUACCCACAGAAACAUCCCCCCAAAACUGUUUUCUAGCAAUUGGCCACAGUUUUGCCUCUUGCAGAGAGCUCUUUGCCAGCUUGACCUGAGAACUUCCCAUUACUCUGGCCUCUCAAAACUUGCACAGCCUCCCAAUCACCUUGCCCUGUGGACCAAGCCUUGAACAUAGGUUGCCUUGAGAAUCUUCAACAUCUCAACCAUAGAUACCCUUCACUAAGUGCAGUGAAUCAUGUAAGCUCUGUUCCCAGGGGAGAGAAAGUCCAUACUGCUGUGACAGUUUCCUAUGAAUAGGUGUCUGCAACUAUGCGUAUUUCAAUAUUCACUAUUAUGUGGUCAAAUGGAAAUCCUGGAGAAAGUUAUGGAGAUUUUGUUGAAUGGUUUUCAUUAACUCAGAAAGGAAAGAUAGGAAAUAAAAAUAAUUACUAAAAUUUAAUCAUUCGUUAAUAAAUAAUAAAUUUAAUUAUUAAAUAAUUAUUGAAGUUUCAUAAAGGGAAGUAUUGAGAAGUCUAUAAAAAAUGACUUCAUUCCAAAACUGCCUUUGUGAAGAUGAAGAGUGGCCAUAGUAUUUCUAGCACUAAGACAAAUUCGCCACUGGGAUGUAAUUGAGAGAGGGCUUCUUUCCACUUGAUAUAUUUUGUAUGAAUAUUCACUGACCUGUGUUGUUUGGUUUUCUGGCAUUCCCUCUUAUUUGGAUUCAGACUUGCCCAGGGCUACCCUGCAAUAGGCCAUAUUCAUACCAGAAAGACAGAUUACUAAACCCCAGUUAGGAUAUAUAAGUGAUACAGAUAUCUUUCAGUUCAUAAGAUUCUCAUUUUAUCUGUAGACACUAAAAACUGUUGAACCAUCUCUAGGAAAUUUCCAGUUUCCAGGAAAGGAAGAUGCAGUCCUUCCUCUCAUUCUGUCUGUCUCCCUGGCUGUGGAGUCUGGAUGUGUUCAGGGGCUUUUCAAAUAUUUGACAAGGGCCCAAAUUCCCAUGAUUGUUCAAAGCAAAGGCCUUAUAGGAAUUGUGCCCUGUUCUCCUUAACCAUGCAAGGAUACUCCUAGGAAAUUUGUAUCAGCAUAAAGGGACAGUUAUGAAAAGAGUGUGAAGUGAUAGAUUCUUUAUUCAUUGGUAAAUUUUUCUAUGAUUUUGAUUCUCUUUUAUAUCAAGUGGAACUUACCUGAACUGUCAGUUAAAAAUGAGAAACAAUGCCACUAAAGCCUAGAGUAGUCAGCUCUUUGCUGCUCUGAAGACAAGAUCUGAUCAGAACGAUUUAAGGGGAGGAAAAAAGUUUCUUUGGGGGCUCACACGUUCAGAGGUCUCAGGCCAUUGAGAGCAGACUCCAUUCUUUGCAACCUCAGAAGAGGCUGAACAUCAUGGCAGGAGAGUGUGGCAGAGGGAAGUAGCUGACAUGAUCAUCAAGAAGCCAAGAAAGAGAUUUCCACUUUCCACCUACAGGUACACAGCCCACAGCCUUGACCCCCAAGACAGACCCUCUCCACCUGAACCCCACCUGCCUUCAGUUACCAGCCAACUGAUCCCAGCAGGUGAGGAGUUCACAGAUUGGGUGAAGGCUCUUGACACCCUAUUAACUUCUACUAUCCAAAGAUUCAAAGGAAUAUUAACAAGAAGAGAAAACAGCCUCCUCCACCCAACACUACACAGCAUGGUUGGAAAAUAUCCAACAGAACCACAAAAGGCUCUAAGGAUGUAUCCCAAGAGUUGUGACUGGAUGAAUAUGCUACAAAGAAGCCACCUUUGUCAAUACCUGCCAUGGCCACUCAGUCAAAUGAGAACAACUAAGAUAUUCCUGCACCAUCUCUUCCUAAUUUUCUCAAAGAAACAUCAAAUGGUACAAAUGCUAAACAGAGGAAAGGGAGAAAAGGCAGAUCCAAGGACCAGCUCUCUUUUGUCAUCAACUCUGGGUGGCCCAGCUCCCAUGGAAUUUGACUUGCCUGCUGAACAACCAGUAUUAGGCCACCUAAUUUGAUAUUCAGCCAGGGCCUGCCUCAGAAAGGUACUACAGAGCAAAUACAGGUGCAGGUUCUCCUUUGAUUUCAUGCCCUGGAAUAAUUGUGAGUAUCCUUUCUUCCUCAAGAAGAGGCAGAUAAUAGCCCACCCUCGGUGGACAGCUAACCCUGGAUACCAUACGUGGUAACAGAAAAAAAAAAGAAAGAAAAGAAAAGAACAACAAAAAGGCUUACUGAACUUUGAUCCCUUCAGAUGAUCCAAUUUUCUGCAACCCAUACAAGGGAUCAUGCCAAGGACAUGGACUUUGCAGAUAUUCACUGUCCCCAAACCUCUCAACAUGCACUCCACUCCAAAAUCCUCUCACCCUGGUUUGGAUUCUUGUCAGGAAAAUGCCUGGGUGUGUAAACCCAUGCUGCGGGGAAAUGACUGCAGAGCAGGGGAAAGUCCGGCACUCAGAGUGGAAGCCUCCAGCAUCCAUCCACUUCCAAGUCAAAGGCCUGGAGAUUCUAGGUUCUGGUAGGAGAUUGCACUUGUUUGUGUCCCCUGUGGGUCUCUCUGGGCCUUGCGCACCAAGGGUCCCGCUUGGUGCUGCUGUGCCCUCCUGGCCGCUCUCCAAAUAUCUUCCAGUGUCAGGGACAGGUGGACUGCCCGCGUAUUGACGUCAGCGUGCACGGGUCAGCAGAGGAGCUUUCAUUCCUGGCGGCAUCCCAGGAAGAUCCAACCCAAGCAGCAGCUCAGCGGUCAUGUUAGGAGGGGAGACCUUGGCACGGAACCCCAAGAAGGCAUGUUCUUUUCAACGCAUGCGGCCCCAACUUCUUCAGCCCCUGGAAGUGGAGCAUGGUUCUCCUGGUGGCCUGUCCAAGGUGCCCUCAGGGCAAUCCUGCUCCUUCCAGUGCCCUGGACCCAGCAGCUGUCACUGGCCUGCUGGCACGACCCUGCAGUACCGCUAGGCGGCGCCAUCCGCGGUUAGUCGCACCAGGCAGGCAGAGCGCCCUGCAAACCCUUAUCCCAGAGCCAGCACUGGGGGCUCCACAGGUGCAGCGAACCUGGGAGGGCUGGAGGGCUGGUGAGCACCAGGAGGACGCAAGGAUCAUCCCAGGUAGCACCAGCUCCAGCAGCCUUGCUCUCCUGUCCUGUUCCUCCAGGGCCUGACUCCACUGACAGUUGGCCCAGUCAGCGAACUGUCUUAGGUUCCUGGCGGCCCCAGGGAGCCGCUGCUGGGGACAGCUGAGGGCAAUUGUGCAUCCAAGGCAGCUCGGCAGGUUGGGGGAUCUUGGAGCUCAAGAACAUGCCACUAACUCUGUCUGGCUGCCCUUCCGUUCCUAGAAAACCAAUCUAGGAGAUUGAGAUCGCUGCACCCCGGGCAGAAUGUAGGUUAAGGGCAGGUGCAGGUGGGCCCCUUGUUUUCUAGGGAGGGCAGCAAGGGAGGGAGUCCCUGAACAUGGGUGUCAGAGGGAAGGAACAAGAGAGCAAGGGAGCUUCCAGCGCAGUGCACCAUCUGCACCAGCCACGCCCCACUAUGGCGACAGCGGCUGUAGCACCUUCAGCAGUAGCUGCUGCUGCUGCUGCUGCCAGGCACCAGGUCCAGUCCACAAAUACUUUGGGCCUGAAAGUCCAACAGUCCUUUCAAUUGUCCUGCAGAGGCAGAAAUAUCUAGUCAGUAGGGCUGAACCUGAGGGUUCUUCCUCUUGGCCUGCCUCUUGGCUCUCAGACAUAAAGCCCUCUGAGACAAUGCCGGGGGUUCUUGGGGCAACCCCUGGGUGAAGAGAUUGCACCAGAGUGUCACAGCCCCUGCCAAAAAGAUGCUUCACAAAGGUCUGUGGCAUGAGCGCAACAAGUGACCUGUAGGAACCUGAUCAUCAGGCUCAACCAUGGCUUCCCGUCGAUUUCACACAUCAGCCUUGAUAGAGGAGUGGAAAUGUAGACGUUUCUAAAGUUGGAUAUUAAAAAUGGGGAGAGCUCAACAUUUUUCUGUGGAGCCCUGAAUCCAGAAAGGAGUCGGGAAUGAGAGGAUGGUAUUUAUUUCACAGACACUGAAAGAAGUCGGUAUUGAUUUGCCUCUGACAAAUACCAGUAGCGUCAUCAGCUUCAAUAUACCAUCAGCAAGAAGUACAGGCAGAAGAUUCUGAAGCAAAAAUCAUAACAGAAAAGACAUUAACUUCCAUAGAAUAUAAGGCUCUCGCAAGUUCUGAGCCAUUCCUUCUUGAUUGCAGUGAAGAGCAGAUCACACAUGUGCUAAUGUUGCUUUUCUGGGAGAAGAUGUAAGAGGGAAGACUUUUCUGGAAGAAUAGGACCUUCGCCUAACUUCCAAAUCAGAAAUCAACCAUUCUAUGAGUCAGCUUUUCAUCAUUUGAAUGAAAUACCUGAGGCAACUGACAUAUGAAGACAAAAUGUUUAUCUUAUGAUCUUCUAACCCAAGCACUAAGGAUCCUUUGUUUUGCUCCUGUAGAAAGGGAAGCACAACAUGAUGUAAGCACAUGGCAGAGCAAGCUGCUCUCCUCAUGAGCUAGGAAGCCCUGGAGCACAGGCCGGGCCUACAAUCUCCUCUGGGGGAAAUGAACAGUGACCUGAGAACUUCCCAUUACCCUGACCUCUCCAGACUUGCACCGCCUCCAAAUCACACUGCCCUGUUGAUCAAGCCUGUAACAUAUGUGCCUGGAGAGUCUUCAACAUCCCAACCAAACAAAGCUACCCUUCACUGAGUGCAGUUAAUCAUGAAGCCCUGUUCCUAGGGGAGAGAAAGUAAAUACCAUGGUGACAGUUUCCUACUCAUAGGUGUCUUCAACUCUAUGUACUUCAAUAUUCACUAUUAUGUUGUCAAAUGGAAAUCCUGGAGAAAGUUCUGGAGAUUUUUGUGAAAUUCUUUUCAUGAACUCAGAAAAGAAAGAUAGGACAUAAAAAUAAUUAUCAAAUUUAAUCAUUAAUUAAUAAUUAAAUGAACUUACUUAUUAAAUAAUUAUUAAAGCUUCAUAUAGAGAAUUUCAGAGAAGACUAUAAAAAAUUAGUGAAUUCCACAACUGCCUUCAUUAAGAUGAAGAACAGCGGUAGUUCUUCUAGAACGAAGACAAAUUUGCAACUGUGAUGCCAUAUGAAGAGGACUUCUUUUCACUUGAUAUGUUUUGUAUUAAUAUUCACUGUCCUGUGUUACUUUGUUACCUGGCAUUCCCUCUUAUUUGGAUUCAGACUUGCCCAAUGCUACCCUAGAGUAGGAAAUAUUCAUACCAGAAAUACAAAUCAAUAAACUCCAGGAAGUACAUGCAAAGGAUCCACAUAUCUUUCAGUUCAUAAGAUUUUCAUUUUAUCUACAGACAUGAACAAUCAUUGAAAUAUUUCUAUGAAAGUUCAUCUUUCCAGGGAAGGAAGAUGCAGUCCUUCCUGUGAUUGUCUGUCUCCCUACCUGUGGAGUCUGUGCCUGUUCGGGGGAUUUUCAAAUAUUUGACAAGGGCCAGAAUUCCUUUGAUUGUUUAAAGCCAAGUCAUUAUUCUAAGUGUGCCCAGUUUUCAAUAACCAUAUAAUAAUUCUCCUAGGAAAUUUGUAUCAUCAUAAAGGGACAGUUAUCAAAAGAGUGAUAAAUACUUUCUUAUUUGGUAAAUUUUUCUAUAAUUUUUUUCUUUAGUAUUAAAUUGAGCUUACCAAAACUGGAAGUUAAAAAUGAGUAACAAUACUAGUGAAGCCUAGAUUUGUCAGCUUUUUCACUACAGUGAAGACCCAAUCUGAUCAGAAUUAUCUUAGGGGAGCAAAGUUUAUUUGGGGGCUCAUGAGUUCAGAGGUCUCAGUCCAUAGAGAGCAGGCUCCAUUCUUUGGAACCUCAGGUGAGGCAGAACAUCAUGGCAGAAGAGUGUGGCAGAGGGAAGUAGCUGACAGAAUGAUCAAGGCAUGAAAUCAAUGCACUCCACUCAAAAAUCAUCUCACCCUAGUUUCAAUUCUUGUGAAGGAAGUGCUGAAGUAUUUGAACAAUACUCCCGUGAAAUGACUGCAGAGCAGGGGAAAGUCCGGCACACAGAAAGGAAGUGUCUCACAUCCAUCCACUUCGGAGUCAAAGGCCUGGAAAUCCUAGGCUCUGGCAGAAGAGUGCACUGGUUUGUGUUCUCCAUGGGACUUUCUGGGCUUUGCGUGCCAAGGGGUCCCCUUGGUGGCUGGUAUGCCAUCCUGGCUGCUCUUCAGAUACUUGCGGGUGUCACAGGACAGGCGGACUGACAGCCCAAUGACGUCACCACGUGCCAGUCAUCCUAGGGGCUUCCUGACCUGGUGGCAUCCCAGGAAGAUCCAACACAAGCGGCAGCUCAGUGGUCACGUUAGGAGGGGAGACCUUGGGACCGAACCCCUUGAGGGCAUGUUCUUUUCAACACAAGCGGCCCCAACUCCUUCAGCCCCUGCAAUUGCAGAGUGGUUCUGCUGGUGCCCUGUCUAAUGUGCCCUCUGGGCACUCCUGCUCCUUCCAGGGCCCUGGACCCAGCUGUCACUAACCUGCCAGCACCCUGCAGUACCGCUAGGCGGCGCUGCCUGCAGUUGGUCGCACCAGGCAGGCCUAGUGCCAGAACACCCUGCCUCCUGGCGCCAGCCCACUGUGGACUCUGCAGGUGCAGCGAACCUGGGAGGGCUGGAGGGCUGGCGAGCACUAGGAGGACGCGAGGACCAACACGGGUAGCACCAGCCCCAGCGGCAUUGCCCUCCCAUCCUGCUCCUCCAGGUCCUGGCCCCGCUGAAAGUUGGCCCAGUCAGUGAAUUUGCCUGGGUUCCCAGCAGCCCUAGGGAGUGGCCACUGUGGACACAUGAGGGCAGUGGAGCAUCCAAAGCAGCUGGGCGGGUUAUGGGAACUUUGAGCUCCACCACCUCCUACCACCAGGUGCCCCUCCAUUCCUAGAAAGCCAGUUCUGGAGAUCAUUGCAACCUGGGCAGAAUGAAGGCUAAGGGCAGGUGGGUGGAUCUGUUGCUUUUUAGUGAGGGCAGCAGGGAGAGAGUACCUGAACAUGGGCGACAGAGGGAAGGAGCAAGAGAGCAAGGGAGCUUCCAGCAUGGUGCACCCUCUGCACCAGCCAGGCCCACUUUGGCGGCUGCAGCUGCCAAAGUAUUGUUCAAAUACUUCACAUCAUUCACCUCUGAACAUUCCUCCAUUAACUCAAAUGAGCUUUUCAGGCACACCUAAUCUCCAAACCACCACAUGCCACGCCAUAAAAAAGGUUAUGUCCAUCUCAUUAAGAGUCCUCCUAAUCUUAACAGUUUUGGCAACAGGUUGCAGUCAGCCAGGGUCAGCUUGCUGCUAUGUAGAAAUGGCACCUAGGAGAUGCCUUGAUCUUCAGAUCUGGUCUUCUGGAAGGAGAGAUGCCAAGUCAUUGUCUAAAACUUUCAGAACUUUUAGGAACCCCUUCUGGAGAGAUGAUCACUGAAGUGCUGAGUUUUAAUUCUGAAGGAAACUUGGCAAAUAUGACCAGCCCAGCUGUGUUACACUCAGAGUUCCAAGCUGCCAGUUUUGGGUACUUGGAAGGGCACGGCACAGCCUCCAGAAAUUGUUCAGUCUCAUAGGUAUGCAUGUGCACUCCUGUGCCAUACACCCCGAAUGGGAGCAGCUCUUCUAGGCACAGCUUUUGCACUUGGUUGGUUGGUGUCAGAGGUGGUGAUGUGGAAGGUGAGACUCCCUUUAGCCAGAGCAUUGUUGUCUGGAAAAAGGAGAGGUUUGGCCCCAUCAAUGCCAGUUUUAACAAUUCAACAUGGUUAUUCUACAGGUGUGGUUGUGUUAGGGACCAAAUAUUCACAAUUGCUGAAGGAGAUAGAAGGGGCUGUGGCGAGGGCCAGGGGAAUUCUGUCCUGCAAAUCCAGAGCUGUCUGCCCCUUAAUCACCACACAAGCCCAAUUAGACCAUCUCCCUGAAGACUGGACCUCUCCACCUGAUCAGAGCACACCACACUCUGCUUCUCCAGCUCUGUCUAAACUCAGACAUUUUCUGGAAAAGGAAGUCAUAUUUAGAAACUUGUUAUCUUUCCAACAUACAUAAUACAUUUAAAAUUGUGGCAUGGACAGGAAAGUCAAUUGUCUCAUCAAUGUAUCGGACAGGACAACACAGACAAAAAGCACUAAAGUACUUGCACUAUUUAUUUUUGUGUAAUUUUAAAGCAAGGCUGGAGUUGUGGCUCAGUGGUGGAGCACUUGCCUAGCACAUGUGAGGCCCUGGGUUCGAUCCUCAACACCACAUAAAAAUAAAUGAAUAAAAUAAAGGUAUUGUGUCCAACUACAACUAAAAAAUAAAAACAUAAAAUUUAAAGCAAUGAAUUGUUCAAUUUUCUUUAAAAGUAGUCCAUGAUUUUAUAUAUCUUAAUUUUUCAAAAAUUUGUGGCUCAGUAUCUUUGGAUGCUCCAAGUGGCUAGUGACUUUCUGGCAUUCUGCAUGAAUGCCAAGUUCAAACAACAGUUUUAGAUAAAUUCAGAUACUUACACUCCAAAUCUAUGCCAACAUAUGCAUUUAAGAGUACAUUUAAUGGGGCUGGGGUUGUGGCUUAGCCUUAGAGCACGCACCUAGCAAGUGGAAGGUCUUGGGUUCGAUCCUCAGCACCACAUAAAAAUAAAUGAAAUAAAAGUAUUGUGUCCAACUACAACUAAAAAAUAAAUAUUUUUUUAAAAGAGUACAUUUAAUGAAUGUUCACAACACAAAAAUUGAUAAACUGAGUACAUAUGUUCAAACAUCUCACUGUAUGUAAUAAAUAUGUAUAAUUAUUUUGUGUCGAUUUUUAAAUGUUUCCAAAAAAGAAAAUAAAGGGAUAAAAUUAUAAAAGUACUUUCAGUACUCUCAACAAACCCUGUAAAGCAAAGGGGAAAAAAUGAGUUCUCUAGCUGGGGAUGUAGCUCAGUAGUAGAGUGCUUGCCUAGCAUGCAAAAGCCCCUGGAUUUAACACCCAGUACUACAAGGGGGUUGGCAUGGCAGGGGGCUCAUUGUCUCUAAUUCUUUCCUCCUCAAACACAGAGUUUUUGACCUUUAUUCUAUUUAGUAAAUUGAUAUUCUCUUUAAUAUCACAUAUUAAGCCAAAUUGCAUGUGUGGGUAGGCAUAUUUCCAGGGAGCAUACACCAACAGGAAAUCCCUCCUCUGGAAUUCCUUCCUACUGCACUUCCCCAACUAAUGGGAACUCUCCAGGUGUCCCUUAGCAGGCUGAGGUGGACAGCAGGUGUCUAAUAUCCAUUUGAAUGCAGAUCUUAACAUAAUCAUAUCAUCUCAAUGGCUUGCUGGCAUCACCUUUCAACCAAAAAUGCCAUGCAUCAUUACUACUUGGCUAUGGCUCUUAGAAAACACUGCUCAGCUUAGCUGAGCAUCAUGGCCCCUCCCUCACCUCUCAGCCCCCAGAGAUUCUCCUCCAAACCCUGGUGACCCAUGGGGGCUCAUAGAUUCUAUCUUCAUCAUUCAUCUUCAUCUGUCAACUUCCUGCUGUCACCUCUACCAACUCCCCUGCUCUCCCAACAUCUCUCACCUGGGCAGCUGCAAGGGCCUUGGGGUUCUCCCUGUGUCUCUCUUCAUAGUGGCCAAGAUCUCCAGCACAGACUCUCUCUCUCCUAGAUCAAAACUCCUGGAAGGUGCCCUACUGUACUUAAGAUAGAGUCCCACUCACUGAGGCAGGCUACCUGGGCCUUGCCCACCUCCCCAUCAUUCUCCUGUACCCUUCUCUCUAUCCCCUGCACAGUUCAGCCUUCUCACACUCAGGGGACUUUUGCCCCACAUUACCUCUCAUCCCCAGUCUGCAAAUAGGGAUAAACAUACCCCCACUCCAUAGGGAGCUUAUAGAUGUAUAAUAGGCCAUCUGUACAUGUCUCAGGGCAGAAUGCGCACCAUGAGCAUAGCCCUCCAUGCAUCUGCCAUUACAGAUGGAGCUUAAAAUGUUUGCUCAAUGAAUGAGUUAAAGAGCCACUGCAAGGCUCACACAGGCACCACAGGGGAGAAGCUACUUCCACACAAUGCUGGAGAAGAAGGCAAAGCAGAGAAGCCAGCAACAGCUGCAAAACUCAGAUCAGCAGUGGAAGUCCACAGUACUGGCGAUCAACCCUCCAGUAGGCCAUCACCCAUUGCUCCUCUCCUCAGUCCCCACCUCAACCCAGGCACUUGGUGGGUCCCACACUCAAUGUCCUCAGUUGCCCCCCCACACUCUUCAUUCCAAAAUAGGAGAAAGACAAAAGAAGGAGCUAGCCUUUAAUGACAGCAACAACAGUCACUAAGACAGCUACUAGGAGACAGGCGGUGUUCUAAAUGGCUGGCAUGCAAUUAAUCAUCCAUUCUGCUUCCUCAGCAACCCUCCCAAUAUAGUAUGAGUGUUAUUAUCUUUUUAUACAUGAAUUGCUUUGCAGUGAUAUUAAUCCUGCAAAUACUAGCUACUUUUCAAGAUAAAAUAUCAAAUUUGUAAGGAACAUGUGGGAAAGGUGGUGGCCCACCCCAACAAGGUGGUAAGCCAACCUUCUUCUUUUGAUAUAUUUACUUUCCUGGUGGGAUUUGAGUUGUUUGUGUGUGUGUGUGUGUGUGUGUGUGUGUGUGUAGGGGAUUGAACCUGGUGGCAUUUAACCAUGGAGUCACAUCCCCAGCCCUUUCUUUUUCUUUUUAUUUUGAGACAGAGAGUUUCAAUAGGUUGCCUAGAGUCUCACUAAAUUGCUGAAGCUGGUUUUGAACCUGUGAUCCUCCUUUCUUAGCCUCCUGAGUCACAGGGAUUACAGGCAUGAAACACCAUGCCCAGCAUGGGAUAGGAUCUUGAGGAGAUAAUUUCAAAAUAAUGUUAAUGAAUUUAGGCUCUCUGAAAUCCCAAAGUAGAACCCUAUGUACCCUCAGGACACUGAGAGAGCAAUUACCACAUUCAAUAUUACAUCGAAACAGUGAGCUGUUCACAGAAACUGCUAAACAUCCACCAUCAUACCCAGAACAAGUAUUUUCUGCUCCCUUCUGUGGAUGCUCCAGGUCUGAUGCCUAGAUAGCAACUCACACUCCUCUGUGGAAGGCACUUCCAUUACAUGAGGGUGACACCAAGGGCAAAGUCAGAGUAAGGCCAUCAUAAAUCUCUCUUCUCCAUAAAAGUCACAAGGGAACUGGCAAACACUGUCAAAAUCAACUUUUCCUGGGCUCUGAAGAUGCACCAAACAUUUGUAUGAUUGGAAUAGCAUUUAUACAAGAAAGAGAGGGACAGAUCCUAGUAAAAAAAAUGGAGACCAUUGUGACAUUUUAACUUGACCUAGGCCACUCCCCCACUUUCUAGCUCCACAAUGGCUUUGAAAUAUGAUACCACCUUCCCAGUAAAAACCACCAUUGUGGGCACCAUAGGAAAGAAAACCCCACUGGAGACUUUUUGCACACUCAUCCCCAAACCAUCCAUGGUACAGAACUUGUCUGUGGGUUUCCUGGAAGACACCACUUGCAAGGCUGUAUGUGACCUGGCUCUGGGCUCAUCUUUUCUAUAGAGAUGUUUGUCAAAAGCAGCUACAGGUGACUGUUUACCUACAUAGCUCUCUGAGGCAGUGGAGAGCAUGUUCAUCAAAAAGCUUAAAGGGAAAAGAUGGAUAAGGAAAUCACCACAGGGCUUUGGAAGACUAUGACAUGUUCCUGGGAAUGCAUAUGAGUAUGGCCAUGCUUGUCCAUAGAAAUGUGAACAUGCCCAGAGUGUGCCCACACCCAGGAAGGACCAGCAGGCACUGAGCUCCACCCCCAGCUGACUCUGUCUCUGUGAAUGCAAAAAAUCAAAGUGAAGGCAAGUGCCAGGAGCCUGAGUAAGUCCCAUGGGCUGCCAGCAAGCUGACCUAUCAAAUGGAACGCUACUGAUUCAUCAGACUGAACUGAUAUAUACUAUAUAUAAUGGUUGGAUGAGUGAAUGGAUGAGUGAAUGGAUCCAUGAAUGUAUCAAUGGAUGGAUAGAUAGAUGGGUGAAUGGAUGGAAGGAAGAAUGGAUGAAUGAAUGGGCGGAUGGAUGAACAGUUUGGAAAGGAAAGAGAGAGGAGGUGAGAAAGGUGGAAGAGUAUAGCAAGAAGGAGAUGAGGAGGAAGAGAAGGAGAGAAGGGAAGAGGAAAGGGAGACAAAGGACAAGGAGGUAUGGUCUUAAAGAGAUAGAGGAAGAGAAAUAGAGAAACAAAGAGACAGAUAUACAGAGAAAGAGCAGUGGAGUGUGAUUAAAUGAGAAAGGACAAAGGGAUCUGUACAAAUUGGAGGGGCAAAUUCAGAGAGCUAGCAGACCUACCAGAGGAGGCAGACCAACUGGGUUUGCAUGCAUAAAGACAGAAAGAGGCAUCAAGGAAGAGCCAAGAAGGAGACUCAGACCUUGCAAGCCAGAAGACUUCUGAUCUAGACAAACCAAGAGGCCAGUGUACCCGGUGCUCAGAUGUCCCAGUUCAGCCCGUUGACUGCUGCAUCCUGCAACUAUUAGGCUGAAGUUGCUGAGCUGGGCCCAGUGUGUGGAGCAGCUCCUGACAGAGCAGAGACACAGGGCAGAGUGCCCCUCAGUCCAGGGAGGUCCAGCAAGAACUUUACACUCGUGUCCACUGAUGUAUCCUGGUGGGAAGCACUUUAUCUAAAAAGCUAAUUGUUAAGCAAACAUUCAAGGUACUGCUGGGUACGCAAGUGAAAAUGAUCAGGACAAAGUGCACAUAUGCACACCUAGGACUGUGGGUACCGCUUAUGUCACAUGGGUUUUAUUAACAUAAUUCUAAGAACAAGUCUGAGGAAGAAGUCAGAGUUCCGAUUUUUUAGAUGAGAGGCACAAAAUUUUACACAAAGGCACAAAAAUCUCAGUUAAUAUCAAAACACUGAGUGCUGCAUCUGCUACCAAUGCCCACAGCCUGGGGGCUCCUCACCCCUGUGCAGUUCUGCUUAUUAGGAAAAACCAACAUCAACACCUGAAAUGUGUUAAGACACUGAGCCAGGAGGGAUGUGAGUCUUUGCAUCUCAUUAACCUUCAGAGAAGGUCUUUCUCAACUAAUCUCAACUCUCCAUUAUUUUUCCAUAUCACUUUAGUUAAUCAGUGUCUGUAGGCAGGAGGAGAAAGGAGUAUUUCCAUUUUCUUUUUUAUGAAAGUUUAUAUUUAACAGAUUUUCACAAUGCGAAAAAAAAUAUUUUGAAAACAAAUUAUUUGCCUGCUUCAAUUUCCUCACAGCUUAAGUAAAGGAACAGAAAAAAGGUUUCACUCUGUGUUAGGCAAGGAGUGGUGGUCAGAGAGAAGGAAAUGAGUUGGGGACAUGAAGCGCUGGAUUUGCAUCUGUCCCUGUGACCUCUGACUUGCAUCUGAGAUGCUUCUCCAAGCCCCCAAGCACUGGCUGGGCACCGAGGCACCUGCAGGGGCUGUAGCUUGAACUAAGUGGGAAAAAUCAAUAGGAAGAACUCGCAGGGACAAAUGCAGUCCUGCAACCCCACACCUAGGGAAGAGGCCCAAGAACACACACACUAACAUGGCUUCCCUGGGGAUUCUUAGCCCACCACAGGACAGGAACCACCAGCUAAGACAUCUAGAGCUUCAAGAAGACACCAUGAGUGACUCCCACUGGGCAUCCUGAAAACCCUAGAUGCCAUCAAGGAAAGCAGUCUUGCAUUCACUGGAAAGGGGGCCUGAGGUGUCCAGGGGGACUCACUAAACUGAUAGAUGGAUAAGGAGGGUUGGUGAAGGGACAACUAAUAUCACUUUAAUGUCACACCAAUAUGUACAUGAACACAAAACCAUGCCUGGUAACAUGUCAGUCAGCACGCAGCCUGGGGCAAAACACCUGAACUCUGAUCAGAAAAUGCCUAAGAUAACAAUUACUAACCAAUAAAAGGUGGGUGACAACUGGGAUAUUUUUAAAAAGAUUUUAAGAAUACCAGUAUCAUAAAUGGAAAGAGCUGGGCCACCCCUGGGGUUGAGAAGAGUCACCAGGGCCAAGGGCACAGCACAUUCCCUGCUCAGGCUGAGGUCCAGCCCUCACUGGAGGUGUGGCUGGGCCCUCCAGAUGCUGCAGAAGGUGGCCAGAGGUGAUCCCUGAAUAGUGAGCAUCAUGGAGCUUUGUGUGCUUCUGGGAGCUGUGUGGAGAGAGUGCAGGAAAUGAGGACAGAAGCCCAUGCCCUCCAUGCAGUGCCCUGUCCCACAGUGGCUUGUGCUAGAAGAUACCAAACCACCUACCACCUCUGCACAUGGCCUGCUGAGUGCACCUGAAGUCCAGGAAGCUGUACCUAGAACUGAACAUCAUAGCCCAUGAUGCUGUUAAUAGUGUUUGUUUUCUCUCUUCCUCAUGUCCCAACUCCAUGAUUGACAAGCAACUAGCAUAUUUGAAAGGGUUUGCUAAAUGGUAACAAUAUUUAAUUUUAGCAGAAUGUGAAUUUUUAAAGGACAACAUGAAAAGAGAGGUGUUAAAUAGUGUGCUUAACCUCACACCAUCAGCUAGCAAUGAAUUAAAAAAUAAGAUUUCCCUCCAGGGCUUGAGCAUCAGAGCUUCCAUCAUACCUGGGUUUCCCAUGGGUCCUUCAGACCAAGGCAACAGCAGGAUUGGGAUGCCUAGAGGGCCCUGAAGAAGCUUGUGCCAUGUUCCUGUAGAGCAGAGGCCACCAAGGCUUUCCUGGGGAGGUGUCCCAUGUUCUCCAUUGCUCUCCUCCUGUGGGCACUGGCAUAACUGCCUCUUCCUGAGGAGGUGGUCCCUGUUCUAUACUCUUCUCCUUCUGUGGGCACCAGCACAACUGCCUUCUAUUCAUAAGGCCCUGGAAGUAACAGCUUCUCAAAAAGCCACUGGACUCACAUGGCAGGAUCUGAGGGGAGCUGGUUCCUGGGACCUUGGAGAGUGGAUGGUUAGCAGAGCUAGGGCCACUCCCUGAGAACUCUGAGCGUACUUAACAGCAGAGCUGAGCUGAUGGACACCUGUGGCUGCCCCACACUCUGUCUGUUAACACACAAGCAUAAUCUAACUCCGUGGUGACAAACAACAUAACACAAUAGCCACAGAGUCAGCUUUGUGAAAUGACACUCCAAAACUGUAGCAGAUGUCAAGUAAUUGACUCUCAGAAACCUUCUUGGGGGCAACCAUUUCCUACUGCCUGAAGGCCACUUUGAAAGGGGCCUCAGAUGGCAAAAAUGCAGCUGAUUGUCAAUACUUUUAUUUCUAAUUCAUGAUGCAAUCCAGAACCCCCAAGUGAUUUCCUCACAGGGUAACAUGUGAGAAGCCACAAGCUGCACUACAGGAAGACAUGGAGCUGGCUGUGCUAUUUGUUAUGACUGCAUCUGAAACACAAGAAUCCAGAAUCAAAGGCUGAACUUAAAAAUUUAAAUAGAAACAUGGAAGGGGAAGGGCUCACAGGAAAAUCUGCCAUCCACAUGGGGAAUGCCCUUGAUGAGAUGUCAGUAGAUCCAACACUGGAGAAGAGAAGGACACCCCAGGUCAAAACAUAGAGGAGGGGCAUUUCAACACCUGAGGAGCACACCAGGCCAGCAAGUGCUACUCAAGUCACCCAACAUCUAGGCAACUAGUCUCCAAACCUAGGCGAGGAAGGAGAGCAGGAAGGUUUGGCAUUGAAGUGUCCCCAGAUGUGAUGAGAGCAAUAACCCCAAAUCCAGGGAGUCAACAAAUCCCAACAGAAGAACAAUGAAGUAGAUGCAAGAAACACCACAGUGGGUCGCAGGAAUCCAACACAGAAUGGAAACCUGGAAAUCAGCCAAGAGGACAUCUAAGUUUCAGCAGUAUCAGAAACCAGGAAAUGGUGAGCUUCCUACCAGAAACAGGCAGGUAAAUGGGACAGCCAGCACCUCCCAGCUGCAGGCCAAAUGGCACCUCAGGGACCUCUACAGCCAGUGGAGGGGUCUCUUCACCAAGUAAAGGCAAAGCAAAGUCUGAAAGAGUCAUGGAAGCCUAUCACAAUGGGAGCAGCAGAUUUCCAUCAUAGGCAUGUUACAGGAACACACUGGUCAGGGAGAGAUGAGCCAGGUGCAAACUGGUCUGCACACCAGAAUGCAAAGCAAAGACAAUGGUGUCAACAUGGGGAAUAAAUGAGAGCUCUGUAGAAUUAUUAUUAUUGACUAUUCAAAAGAGCGUCCAAUGUUUACACAAAAAUAAUAACCAUGCAGCAUGCUUGUGACACAGCCAAAGGUGCAAUGGUGAAGCUUCAGCCCAUUACCAAGAGGGAAACAGCUUGGGAGACUACUGCAGCAUUAUCACACGGGACCAGGUGGCAGGCAGUGCUCAAAGACAGAUCAUGACAAGCUAAAGGCUCAUGAUAAGCCCUAAAGCUACUGCAGAGUAAGAAAAGAAAGCUAUAGCCCGCAUGUUAAUAAAAGUGACAAAACAGAACAAUAAAAAAAGAGUUGAUUCAUCCAAAAGAAGGCAUAAAAGAGAAAAGGAGACUAGAGGACAGGUGGGACAGAUAAAAAUAGACAGCAAGGGCAUGUCUUAACCCUGGCCACACACACAGCAGUGGGACUGGGAAUGGCCUGAGCACUCCGAGAGUAACAUCAGAGAACAAAACACUAAGUGCUGCCCACGACAACUCUACCAAACACAGAGAGGUGAAAAACACAAGGGACAUCUCUGCUUCUACCUGAUGCUGCAUCAGUCAAAAACACUGCAGUGGCUAUGCCAACAUCAGAAAAAGGGGACAUCAUAGCAUAUGAUACCACUAUGAGCAAAUAGGUCCAUGUAAUAAAGGUGAAAGUGUCGACUCUCAAGAGACCUAACAAUCCCAAUGCGCUACACCUAACAACAGCUUCAGAAUACAUGAAGUGACAACAUCCAGAGCUACCAUGGAAAAAAGCCAGCUCCCCAGUGGUGGGAGGGCAACACUUCUCUCAGUCAUUCACACAACAGGUGGAAAGAACUCAGGGGACUUGAACACCUGGCAGCCCUGUGGAACACCCCACCUAGCAGCAGAACACCCUCCAGGAGCAUAUAGCAUCAGCAAGAGAAAUCCCCCUCCCACCACAAAGCAGGUCUAGGCAGAGUGAAAGGACUCAAGUCCUUAUGGUGUGUUCUCUGAUCACACAGGAAUAAAUACCAGAAAUCAUAGUGGGGUCUAUGUGGAAAAUCCCCAAACACUGGAAAGUACCUAACACCUUUUUGAACACCAUGGAUCAAAGAAAAGAGUCAAAAGCAAAAUUAGAGCAUACUGUGAAUUGAAUGAAGAUGAAAAUAUGGUGUACGAGAAUGUGAGGGAAUGUACAGCACUAGCUCUAGAGAGAAGAACCAGGUCUAAUCUAUGACCUCAGCUUCCACCUAAUUGUCUCCUGGAAAAUUAGCCAAUUAAAUCCAAAGUUAGCAGAUGAAAGGAAAUAUUAGAUCAGAUGUCAAUGCAAUGUAAAAAGUAAGAAAAGAAAAGUAGUAAAAAUCUAUGAAACCAAAAGCUGAUUUUUUGAGAAGAUCAUUAAAAUUGAUAAAGCAGUAGCCACAAUAAUCAGGAGUGAAGGAAAUGGCCAAAAUGGUCAAUGCCAGGAAUGAGAGAGGAUGUCACUGAAGGUUGGAGACAUAUGAAAAUGUCAUAAUGUCAUGAGGGACCCUUGGGGACAGACCCCUCUUGGUGGAAGGAUGGAGAAGGAUGGAGCCUGUGAAGAGGGUCUGUAGGCUGCCAGGCACAGGUGUGACAGGAUCACUUUGGAGAGUGCUAAUUCUGAAGGAGACACAGAAAGAAGUCAUGGGGGUGGCUGGGGACACCACUGCCAUGCAUAGGGGAAUUUAUCUGACCUGAGACCUGAGUGAGGGGCUCUGGCAUCCCAGUGAGGUGAGAGUAAGAUGUGCCCCUACAGGAAAGAAGCCAGUGUGGCCCCUGAAGGGGGCAAGAAAGGAGGGCUAAAGAUGGUGACAGCACGCAGCAGCCUAGACUACCCAGGCCUGCCUUAAGGAAGCACUGUGUCCUCCCUGUGUGAACACAGGGACGACCACCCAACAGAGGCUGUGGCUGGGCACAGGAGACCCUCCCAAAGCUGCUUCUUGUCACAGGCAAGGGACAGGUGUGCUUUUGGGUCAGAUCAGCCUCUGCCUGCCUGGGGGUCAUAAGCAAGUUCUCUCAGAACCAAGGUAAAGCCAUCUCUCAAGCCUCAGUUUUCCUCAGAGAUUGCCAUAACUAGAUGAUCUUCAAAGUCUCAUUCCAAUCAAAUGCAGUCUGGAACUUUGUAUAUUGAAACACAGCUGGUCAAGACUGGAAUACAAUCUCCCGAGUCCAUAAGAGCCAUAUGUGCAGAUGUGUGACAUGGGACAGGCUGGGGACCAGAAAGUGGUCAAGCCUGUGCACAUACUGUCACUCACUUAGAAGAUGGACACAGAGGCUCAAGGACAGCCAGACACUUGUCUAUGUCACAGCCAGGAAGUGGGAGCAGAAACUGGGACAUCGGCUGGACUCCUGCUCCUCCUUCCUCACCUGCCCCACCUUCUCCCAUCACUGUGCUCCAGAACUUUGCCAUCACUGUCUCUCUGAUACACCCUGCUCAAAAUGGCCAGGACAGCAGUGGACAGAAGUCCCCAUCCAGGAAGAGAUGAUCAGUUUCCCUCUCUGCCUUUAUCACAUGGAAACAGCCAGGGUGAGAUCCACCAGCCAUUCUACAGUUCUCCCUCCUUCCUCUCCCAACCAUGAAGCUCAGCCCUAGAGACAAUGUUCACAACAGGCUGCCCCUCCCCACAGAUGGCACGGAAGACCACAGGCCAAGGGUAGGCACUUGGAGGUCUCAGGAAGGCCACCUGGGGCAGCAGGAACACAGGGCUUUCAUUGACCUGGAAUCUCAUGCACUGCAAGCUUGUGUGUUUAUUUUGCUUUCAGAAAAUGAACAGCAUCUUUAUGCAGACUUUUAAAUGUCUAAACACCUUUUGAAAGGUGUUACAUGUUCUUGCUUUUAAAAAAAAAAUUAGUCCCAUCUUGGUAAUAUUGUGUUUCUCAAGCUUGGUUUUGAGGAAUGCGUGUUCAUGCCACAGCUGUUCUCCUAGGAUAAUCCCCUACCUCACAUCCUUAACUUAUUGAGACAUGCAAAGCCCCUUUGUCCAGGCAUAGAAAUACCCACGAGUGCUGGGGAUUGGGGAGUGGUCAUCUUUGGGGUCAUCACUCUGCUUACCAGUGGACAUGUGGUUUUGCCCUUGGUGAGGUGUAGCUAUUCCAAAUGAUUCCUUAGGUAGAGAACCUGUCCCUGGACUCUGGUGGUAAGGAUGAAGAAGGAGCACCAACUGGGCUUCCAAGUGCCAGGUGAACUUUAAUCACAAGCACUCAUGACUCAUUUGAUCCUCUCUGGGUUGUGCAAGGCAGGAACAUUCUGGGCCUCCAUACUACAGAUUAGACACCUGGAAGCUCAACAGAGGCAGGUCGACCGGACACAGGGCAGUCACUGUGGAAAGAAAAGAAAGUAGAUAGAUCUCCAUAAAUAUCCACAUUUCUAGAUUCCCUCAUUAAAAGAAAAAUACAAACACCUGCUACACAGAGCCCAGGAUCCUCCAAGGCAGCUGCUGUCCUGCGUGAUUGGUGAGGGCUCCAACUAUGUGGCAUCAGCCGCCACUCCUGAUGCCCCACCAGCCACUCAGACACUCGUGGCUCCUGUGUGCUUUUGAGUCACAAGUGUCUAGCACAAAAUAUUUCACUCUGAACACUAAUGGAAAGCAGUAUAGAUUGCUCCAAGGAUCUCCCCAAAGUUACCAUGGCAACAUCCUCUAAGAAAUAAGUGUGAGGCAACAAUAAUUCACUAUUUCUGGUUUAUUGCAUUAAAAAAACACAUCCAUAUCAACACUCGUUUAUGAAUCUAAGCGACCACAUUAUUCACAAGAGCCAAAAAUUAGAGACAACCCAAAUGUCCCCCAGCUGAUAUCAGCCGAGUGGACAAGACCAGUGCCACACAUGUGAGCAGCAGUAACAGAGGUUAUCAGCCAUGAAGGGGGACAUCCCAACACAUGCUGCCACACAUUAGAUGGAUGAGCCUGGAAAACAUCAUGCUGUGUGCAAGAAGCCAGACCCCAGGGCCACACAUCACAUAAGUCAUCUUACAUGAAGUGUUGAAGACACACCAGUUUACACAGACAGAGGAGGACGGAGGGUUGGUGGUGGGAGGGAGUAGAGAGUGACUGAGUGUGAAUAUGGGGUCUCUUUGGGGAGAACAAAUCAAUUUCAGUGGUGCUGUCCCAACCCUAUGAAUGCUCUGAACCCAUUGAUCCAUGUACUAUAAACAGCUGAAUUUCAGGGUGUGCAAGUUUCCUCUCAAUAAGUUUUUGUUGAAGAAAACAACUGAGACUAGUGCAUCCACCAAGACACUCAGCAUGGCUAGACACAGUGACGCCUGGCUGCUGCUGGGAGAGUGAGACCAUCAAGCAGUGCUGGGCAGCCCCAGGGGCCACAUCCACCCACACAUGAGGCCUGGGGCUCCCUGUAGGGUUGCCCCAUCCCUAAUUCAAAGCUGAGCAGGGCAGCUGCAGGCAGAAAGUAGGCUGCUCACAAGGUGUCCUGUUGCCCAGGCCUGGGGUCACCCAAAGGGUUGGUUACUUAGGGUCCAUUUGGGUCCACAUUUAAGCUUGCUUGGGCCAACUCAGCUGCCCUGCUCCCAAGUCUAAGGCAGCAAGGGCAGCAGCCCAGACCCCAGGACCCACAUGUCACAUGCAUCCUCUUCCAUGAAGAGUUGAGGAUACACCAGUUUACUCAGACAGAGGAGGACGGAGGUGGGCUAGGACAAGGAGACUUGGUGGUGGUAGGAAAUAGAGAGUGGCUGUGUGUGAAUAUGAAGCCUCUUUGGGGUGAACAAAUCAGUUUCAGUGGUGCUGCCCCCACCUUAUGAAUGUUCUGAACCCACUGAUCCAUGGACUUUAAAGGCUAAAUUUCAGGGUGUGUGAAUUUCCUCUCAAUAAGUUUUUGUUGAAGAAAACAACUGAGACUACUGCAUCUAUCAAGAUUCUCAGCAUGGCUAGACACAGUGCCGCCUGGCUGCUGCUGGGAGGCUGUUAUCAUCAAGCAGUGCUGGAAAGCCCCAGGCCCCAUGUCUGCCCAUUCAUGAGGACUGGGGCUCCCUGUGGGGUUGCCCCAUCCCUACCUCAAAGCUGAGCAGGGCAGCUGCAGGCAGGAAGGAAGCUGCUCACAGAGUGUCAUGUUACCCAGGCCUGGGAUCACUCACAGUGUUGGUUAUGUAGGGUCCAUUUUGGACCACCCUUUAGCUUGCUUGGGCCAACUCAGCUGCCCUGCUCCAAUGUCUGAGGCAGCAAGGGCAGCAGCCCCUCACUGCCCAGCCAGGCUGGCUGCACUAUGAGCACUGUCCCAGAACACUUGCUGACCUCAAGAGCAGCCAGCCAGCCCCAGGACAUGAGCCUGUCCCUCUGUUGCUCACCCUGCAUUCUGUGGAGGACACAGAAUGAAUGGCGGGGAGGCCCUGCCCCAGAAGUUGCCACUCCCCUCCACCGCACCCCCAAACCUGCCACCCCCUGUGCACAUAGGUCGUUAUUACCUUCUUGAACCUGAGCAAUUAAAAAUGGAAAGAGCUCAUCUCCUUCCAGCCUCCUGGCCUGUCAUGAACAUCCAGAGACUUGGGAAGCAUUGGGCUCUGCCUCCUGCAGCAAGAGGGGAUGGGCUGAGUGACACAUCCCCCUCAGAUAGGAGAGAGCUCUCGGGCCCCUGCCUCCACUACCUCCUUUCCUCUAGACCCAGGUCUCGCUCACAUGUGAACUGGGUUCCCCAGAGAGUUUCCAGUGUGUGAGUCUUGACUUGCUCAGCACUUCAUCGAGCUUCUGACCCUGGCCCCAUCUCAGCAGCUUGUGAAAGACCAAAGGACCAGCCAUGGGGCCAGCUAUAGCCAAACUGCUCUGCAUCCCUAUGACACUCCACACUGGGGCAAUUCAGAUGGACAGCAUGGUCCCUAGGGAAUGGUGCCUCUUAACCACAGCAGCUCCUACUGGGCUGUAAUUUGUGACUACACUGUGGCACCUUGCAAGGAAGACACACACAGGGUCAGCAGCACCUCACAGGAUGAGGACCUCAACACCCACGUUCUCUAUCCUCAGAGCUCAGAGGCAUCACAAGGUCAUAGCCAGCCUGCCAGGCUGCAUGUGAAAAAGGGGGCUCCUUGUGCACAGACCCACCCAGCAGAAGCCAGCCUGGCUUUCUAUGGCUGUUUCUCAAUGGGACCUGGGAAUGGACCAAGGAGAACCCACAGAGAGUCUGGUGGGGACACAGCCCAUCCAGGAGGACAGGUUGUGUUGUGCCCUCUCAUACCCUGAUUCCUCCACCCACAGUGCCCCUUCCUGUAGAGAAGGCUGGCCUCACAACCAUCACCAGCCAAGGGCAGAACUUCCCAGAGUCACAGCAUUUUGGGGGAAGGUGGGAAAAGUAGGCAAGUCUGACCCAAGUCCACUGCAAACUCUCUCAGCCUGCUCUAAAUGUUCUCAUUUCUUUCCUCAGAAAAGAAUCCAGCAGCUUCUCCAGUUUUGUCCUAAGAAAACAUGGCUUCCUCACUCUGUCUCAGGACAUCAGUGUUCAGAGCUCUAUACUGGGUCCUGAGCUAGCAUCCCUCCUUCAUCACCAAGGAGAUUUCACAAAAAAGUAGAGUUCUGUUCCUGGGCAGAGAGCUUGGAGAUGUCCCUGAUGUCAAGAAUUGAGCCCCUCAUAUCCCAGCCCCCAGCCCAGGGGCACAUCAAAAUGUGUGAAGGAGAGACUGACCAACUGCCCUGAAAUCUCAGCAUUUCACGCUCACCAAGCACAGGGGCAGGAGUGUCUUCCUGUUCAACAUGGCAGGCUGACCACAUGAUAAACUUCCUUGUCCUCCCUCAAGAUCUCAUUGAUGUAAGACUAAAGGUAUGCAAAAGUAGAAAGCUCUUGACCAAAAGGAGCCCCCAGUGACAAAGAGAAAAGUCCUUUCUGGAUCAAUAGGAACUGGUUUUGGAAGCAACACUCUGAACAAUGUACUGCUGCUGACGUGGAGGCCCUGCUCCAGGAGAGACUGGGGGUGCCAUAUACCGAUAACGUGCAGACAUUUGCACAUGAUCAGGUAUUACAUAUGUCACUCGGGAUGUGUCUUGUUAACUUUACUCAUCACCAAUACCUAUCCAUGCAAAGUGUGGGAGCCUGAGGUGCUGCUUGUUCCUCUCUGAGGAGGGGAUAGUCAACACCCGCACCACCCAACACCCUGUCUUGACAGGUAUAAUGUCCUAAUCUCCAGGGAAAUGUGAUGGCCCCUCACCUCCGGGGGGCUGCAGAGCAUUCAAAAUGUGGCUACUGCCACUGAGAAACCAAAUUUUAUUUAACUUUAGUUGAUUCCAAUUGUAAUAGCCAAAGAUAACUAGUGGCUGUUAAAUUGGAUAGUGCAGAUGCUACAAUUAAAUGGCACCUCUUACAGAGUGGACACAGCUGUCAUAGUGGUAGUACUAGUGAUGUUAGUAACAGUAACAAAGUAAUGGCUCCAAUCACUAACCUGUUUUUACCAUAAAAUCAUCCCCCUAAUGAUGGUGAGGUGUUUUAAAACUAGUACCUUGUGGUGGUUGAUGGUUUUUGAAGUGCAAGAAUCUCACAUUUGAUUUCUUGCCUCCUCUUAAGUAGAAGUGAAUGGGGUACUUGACAUCACACUGCAGAGUCCAUGUGACCCUUUUGCAUAUGGUACAACCCAGGCAGACCUGCUGUAGGCACAGUUUCAGCAGAGGGGGAGUUCAGAGAGGAACUGAAUGACUUGACUUGGCUUGAGCACCUACCCAGGUCCCCAGCUGCUGGAGUCAGCCUAGGCAGGAUGGCCCUGUGUCUACCCUCUGCCCUGGGCUCACCUGUUUUUUUCUUAGUUGUGGAUAGAUCUUUAAUUUUUUUUAUUUAUAAAUGGUGCUGAGAAUGGAACACAAGGCUCCGACAUGCAAGGCAAAUGUGCUAUGGCUGAGCUACACUCCCAAUGUGGUAACUUUUUAAAAAAAGUGUUAGAGAUAUAAUUAUAUAGGAAUAUGUAUACAGAUAUGUAAAAGUAAUUUUAAGAAAUAAAACACUAGAGGGACUGGGGAUGUAGCUCAGCGGUAGAGUGCUCAACUGGUAGAGCAGAGGCCCUGGGUUUGAUCCUCAGCACCACAUCAAAAUAAAUCAACAAAAUAAAGGCAUUGUGUCCAAAUACACUCCCUCAAAAAAACCUAGUAAAAUAUAUAUUUUAUAUAUGCAUGUAAAAUGAUUACAGUGGACCACUUCUUGGUAAAAUUAAAAAAUUAGCCACAGUACCAAUGAAUGACUCAUUUAAAUUGAAAUUCUUGGGCUAAAGGUAGGCAUGCACUUUAAAUUUUGGCAUAUUUUCUGAAACUUCUCUGCAGAAGAGUUAUGACAAUUUUGUGUUGCAGUUAUGAGAGCAUGAUAAUUCCAUUCUCCAACGCUGUUGACAUUAGAUUUUCACACUCUCUUUAUUCUGUGUAUUUGAUAGGCAAACACACACAUGUACUUUAUGUUUCCUUUGGAUUCCUCUACUGUGAUUUGGAUUACUAAAUUUUUGGUAUGUCAUCUUGUAUAAACAGCAGACACUGGGUUUUCCCACUUUUGUAGGCUCUUUGUUUCUCCCUAUUGACUUGUAGGAGGUCCCUAUGUUGUUAAGUUCUCAGAAGCAGGGCAGAUACCCACAGAAACAUCACCAAAAAACUGUUUUCUAGCAAUUGGCCACAGUUUUGCCUCUUGCAGAGAGCUCUUUGCCAGCUUGACCUGAGAACUUCCCGUUACUCUGGCCUCUCAAAACUUGCACCGCCUCCCAAUCACCUUGCCCUGUGGACCAAGCCUUGAACAUAGGUUGCCUUGAGAAUCUUCAACAUCUCAACCAUAGAUACCCUUCACUGAGUGCAGUGAAUCAUGUAAGCUCUGUUCCCAGGGGAGAGAAAGUCCAUACCGCUGUGACAGUUUCCUAUGAAUAGGUGUCUGCAACUAUGCUUAUUUCAAUAUUCACUAUUAUGUGGUCAAAUGGAAAUCCUGGAGAAAGUUAUGGAGAUUUUGUGGAAUGGUUUUCAUUAACUCAGAAAGGAAAGAUAGGAAAUAAAAAUAAUUACUAAAAUUUAAUCAUUCGUUAAUAAUUAAUAAAUUUAAUUAUUAAAUAAUUAUUGAAGCUUCAUAAAGGGAAGUAUCGAGAAGUCUAUAAAAAAUGAAUUCAUUCCAUAACUGCCUUUGUGAAGAUGAAGAGUAGCCAUAGUAUUUCUAGCACUAAGACAAAUUCGCCACUGGGAUGUAAUUGAGAGAGGGCUUCUUUCCACUUGAUAUAUUUUGUAUGAAUAUUCACUGACCUGUGUUGUUUGGUUUUCUGGCAUUCCCUCUUAUUUGGAUUCAGACUUGCCCAGGGCUACCCUGCAAUAGGCCAUAUUCAUACCAGAAAGACAGAUUACUAAACCCCAGUUAGGAUAUGUAAGUGAUACACAUAUCUUUCAGUUCAUAAGAUUCUCAUUUUAUCUGUAGACGCUAAAAACUGUUGAACCAUCUCUAGGAAAUUUCCAGUUUCCAGGAAAGGAAGAUGCAGUCCUUCCUCUCAUUCUGUCUGUCUCCCUGGCUGUGGAGUCUGGAUGUGUUCAGGGGCUUUUCAAAUAUUUGACAAGGGCCCAAAUUCCCAUGAUUGUUCAAAGCAAAGGCCUUAUAGGAAUUGUGCCCUGUUCUCAUUAACCAUGCAAGGAUACUCCUAGGAAAUUUGUAUCAGCAUAAAGGGACAGUUAUCAAAAGAGUGAUAAGCAAUAAAUACUUUCUUAUUUGGUAAAUUUUUCUAUAAUUUUUUUCUUUAGUAUUAAACUGAGCUUACCAAAACUGGAAGUUAAAAAUGAGUAACAAUACCAGUGAAGCCUAGAUUUGUCAGCUUUUUCGCUACAGUGAAGACCCGAUCUGAUCAGAAUUAUCUUAGGGGAGCAAAGUUUAUUCGGGGGCUCAUGAGUUCAGAGGUCUCAGUUCAUAGAGAGCAGGCUCCAUUCUUUGGAACCUCAGGUGAGGCAGAACAUCAUGGCAGAAGAGUGUGGCAGAGGGAAGUAGCUGACAAGAUGAUCAAGAAGCAGAGAAAGAGAUUUCUACUUUUUACUUACAGAUAGAUAGCCCACAUCCUUGACCAAAAAGACAGACCUCCUCCAGGUCUGGAGGCACCCGCUUGCCUUCAGUUACCUUGCAACCGAUCCAAACAGGUGAGUAGUUCACAGAUUGGGUUAAGGCUCUUGAUGCCCAAUUAACUUCUACUCUCCAAAGAUUCAAAGAAGUAUUUACUAGAAGAGAAAACAGCCUCCUAAACCCAACACAGCAUGUUUGGAAAGUAUAAAAAACAAAAACAAAAAAGUCAAUAAAAAUGUUUCCAAAGAGUUGUGACCAGAUGAAUAGCUUACAAAUCAGCCACCUUUGUCAAUACCUGCCAUGGCUGCUCACUCAAAUGAGAACAACUAAGGUAUCCCUGCUCCAGAUCUUCCUCAUUUUCUCAAAGAAACAUCAAAUGGUACAAAUGCUACACAGAGAAAAGGGAGAAAAGGCAGUGCCAAGGACCAGCUCUCUUUUUUCAUCACCUCUAGCUUGCUCAGCUCACAUGGAAUUUGACUUCCAUGCUGACAACUAGUAUUAGGCCACCUAAUUAUACAUUCAACUAGGGAGCCUGCCUCAGAAAGGUACUAUAGAACAAAUUCUGGUGCAAGUUCUCCUUUGAUUUCAGGCCUUGGAAUAAUUGUGAGCAUCCUUUCUUCUUCAAGAAUAGGCAGACUAACACCCCACCCACAGUGGACAAUCAUACCUGGACACAAUAUGUGGGAACAAAAAAGAAAGAAAAAAGAAAAGAACAGAAAACACAAGAGAGAACGACAAAGAGGCUCACGAACUUUGAUCCUCCAGAUGCUCCGAUUUUCGGCAACCCACACAAGGGAUCAUGACAAUGACUUGAUUUCCAGACAGUCACUGUCCUCAAACAUCUCAAACAUCUUUUUCUGCCUAUUCUUGAAGAAGAAAGGAUGCUCACAACUAUUGCAAGGCAUGAAAUCAAUGCACUCCACUCAAAAAUCCUCUCACCCUAGUUUCAAUUCUUGUGAAGGAAGUGCCGAAGUAUUUGAACAAUACUCCCAUGAAAUGACUGCAGAGCAGGGGAAAGUCCGGCACACAGAAAGGAAGUGUUUCACGUCCAUCCACUUUGGAGUCAAAGGCCUGGAGAUCCUAGGCUCUGGCAGAAGAGUGCACUGGUUUGUGUUCUCCAUGGGACUUUCUGGGCUUUGCGUGCCAAGGAUCCCCCUUGGUGGCUGCUAUGCCAUCCUGGCUGCUCUCCAGAUACUUGCGGGUGUCACAGGACAGGCGGACUGACAGCCCAAUGACGUCACCGUGUGCCAGUCAUCCUAGGGGCUUCCUGACCUGGUGGCAUCCCAGGAAGAUCCAACACAAGCAGCAGCUCAGUGGUCACAUUAGGAGGGGAGACCUUAGGACCGAACACCAUGAGGGCAAGUUCUUUUCAACACAUGCGGCCCCAACUCCUUUAGCCCCUGCAAGUGCAGAGUGGUUCUGCUGGUGGCCUGUCUAAUGUGCCCUCUGGACACUCCUGCUCCUUCCAGGGCCCUGGACCCAGCUGUCACUAACCUGACAGCACCCUGCAGUACCGCUAGGCGGCGCUGCCUGCAGUUGGUCGCACCAGGCAGGCCUAGUGCCAGAACACCCUGCCUCCUGGCGCCAGCCCGCUGUGGACUCUGCAGGUGCAGCGAACCUGGGAGGGCUGGAGGGCUGGGAGCACUAGGAGGACGCGAGGAUCAACACAGGUAGCACCAGCCCCAGCGGCAUUGCCCUCCCAUCCUGCUCCUCCAGGUCCUGGCCCCGCUGAAAGUUGGCCCAGUCAGCGAAUUUGCCUGGGUUCCCAGCAGCCCUAGGGAGCGGCCACUGUGGACACAUGAGGGCAGUGGAGCAUCCAAAGCAGCUGGGCGGGUUAUGGGAACUUUGAGCUCCACCACCUCCUACCACCGGGUGCCCCUCCAUUCCCAGAAAGCCAAUUCUGGAGAUCAUUGCAACCUGGGCAGAAUGAAGGCUAAGGGCAGGUGGGUGGAUCUGUUGCUUUUUAGUGAGGGCAGCAGGGAGAGAGUACCUGAACAUGGGCGACAGAGGGAAGGAGCAAGAGAGCAAGGGAGCUUCCAGCAUGGUGCACCCUCUGCACCAGCCAGGCCCACUUUGGCGGCUGCAGCUGCUGCUGCUGUUGCUGCUACUUUUGCCGCUGCCCGGCACCAAGUCCAGUCCAGAAAUCCUCUGGGCCCGACUGUCCAAAGGUCCCUUCCAUUUACCCGCAGCUGCAGAGUUAUCUAGCCAUUUGGGAUGAACCUGAGGCUUCCUCCUCUUGGCCUGACUCUAGUCUCUCAGACACAAAGCCCUCUGAGACAAUGCCCCAGGUUCUUGGGGCAACCUCUGGAGGAAGACAUUUCACUGGAGUGUCACAGCCCCUACCACAAUGAUACUCCAAAAUGUCUGUGGGAUGAGUGAACCAAGUGCCUGAUUGUAACCUGAUAAUCAGGCUCAACCAGUGCUGCCUGUCAAUUUCACACAUCAGCCUUGCUAGAGGAGUGGAAAUGUAGAAGUUUCUAAAGUUGGAUAUUAGUAAAAGGGGGAGAGCUCAAAACUUCUCUUUGGAGCACUAAAUCCAGAAAGGAGUUGGUAAUAAGAGGAUGGGGUUUAUUUCACAGACACUGAAAGAAACGUUGCUGGUAUUGAUUUGCCUCUGACAAAUAGCAGUAGUGUCACCAGCUUCAAGAUAUCAUAAGCAAGAAGCUCAGGUGGAAGAUUCUGAAGCAAAAAAAAAGAAUGGAAAGAAUUCAACUUCCAUAGAACAUAAGGCUCUUGCAGAUUCUGAGCCAUUUCUUGCUGAUUGCAGCACACAGCAGAUCACACAUGUGCUAAUUUUGCUUUUCUAGUGGAAGACCUAAGAGGGAAGACUUUCCUGACAGAAUAGAACCUUCACCCAACUGUAAAAUAAUAAAUCAAUUGUUAUAUUAGUCAGCUUCCCAAGACUUUAAUGAAAUACCUGAGAUAACUGGCAUUUAUAGACAAAAUGUUUAUUUUUCUUAUGAUUCUGGAUGUUCUAACCCAAGAACUAAGGACCCCUGUUUUGCCCCUCUAGAAAGGGAAUCACAAUAUGAUGUAAGCACAUGGCAGAGCAAGCUGCUCACCUCAUGGGCUAGGAAGCACUAGAGCACAGGCCCGGCCUACAAUCUCCUCUGGGGAAAUGCACUGUGACCUGAGAACUUCCCAUUACCCUGACCUCUCAAAACUUGCAUUGCCUCACAAUCACAUUGCCCUGUGGACCAAGCCUUUAACAUAUGUGCCUUGAGAUACUUCAACAUCCCAACCACAGCUACCCUUCACUGAGUGUCAUUGAUUAAUCAUGAAGCCCUGUUCCUAGGGAAGAGAAACUAAAUCCCACUGUGACAGUUUUCAACUAGUAGGUGUCUUCAACUCUAUGUAUUUCAACAUUCAUUAUUAUGUUGUCAAAUGGAAGUCCUGGAGAAUGUUCUGGAGAUUUUGUGAAAUUGUUUUCAUUAACUCAGAAAAGGGAAGUAAAUAAAUGUACUUGAAAUGUGGAA
Long non-coding RNA from Marmota monax (woodchuck), 46600 nucleotides. RefSeq lists it as uncharacterized. NCBI's taxonomy places the organism in Eukaryota, Metazoa, Chordata, Mammalia, Rodentia, Sciuridae. The record is from RefSeq and is a predicted model, not a curated record. The transcript has 2 exons.